UUUUGUUUUUUUUUGUUUUUUCUCUUUUUUUUUGAGGCCGGUUGCUAGCAGACGUCAGGGACACAAAGCAAGGCUACUGGACAAAGGUGCUACGAGAGCUAGCUAUACGUGCACUGGUGUUGGGAUUACCUAAAACUAGUAGUACUAAUGCAUAGAAACAGUAGGCUACUGGUGGAGAGUGUUGGAUGUCUGGCGUGGUGCGUGUGGUGAAGCGGCGCUGGCGGGCUCUAGCAAAGCAAGCGCGUGGAUGGAUGGGCGGACGUACGGUGUCAGACACGGAUGAUUGUCUGUCUGGCCGUAAGCUGCUGCUGUGCGAUGGUGAUUUUGUGCGAUCAAAUCAUCGACUGAUAAAAAUAUAGCAAAGAAAAACACAGGCGUCCGGAGGUAAUAAGAAUCGGAAACAAUCGAUCGCAAUAUUUUUUUUUGAUCGUGAACGAGCGGAAGGGAUUAUGUGGGUGGACAAAAACAGAUUGAUCUAGUAGAUAAUUUUACACCCUAACCAAUCUAAACCAGCACUAAUUCUAGGAUGAAUGUAACCAAAAAUUCAACGAUGCAAAUACUAGAUGCAAAAACUGCUAAAGGCUAAAAAGGUAGGUGUGAUGGAUGAACUAAUCUAUUUUUUUUGGCUUUUUUGUGGGUCUAUGGGACAGAAAAUAACUAAUCUAAUAAAACUGUAAAUCUCUCACCGAUGAACCUGAAAACUGAUACCACUUGAUGUGACGGCGGCCCGAUCUUUCGAUGAGAGUGGGGAUAAUUAUCGAUUUGGUGGAUUUUGACCUUGACGAUCCGGCUAUACCGUACCCGACGAUACGCCUCGACAAUUGCUAACCAAUCUCCGAUGGUUAUUGACCUUGCCGUAGGCACGAUCAACCUGAACAACGAGGUUCGAGUUCCUGCAAGCAACCGAAGAACCAGCAAGAACAAAGGUGAAUUGCAACUGAAAUUGCAGAUAAUAAACUGAGCACACGAACUAGAUGAAAAAGUUGGGGUUCCACUGUGGAUCUGACAAGGCGGUAGUCCUACACGUCUCGUAGAUGCGAAUUGUAGCGAUGGCUAGACAAUACAAUAAAACCCGAGUCUAAACCCUAACUUAAUCUAGCUAUUUAUUAAAGCAUAUGCCGCCUGGGGCUGAUCAGACACCGGUCCGUACGGCGACCAAGUGCUGCACGUAGGAAGUAGUCAAAUCGUGUUGGCCCACCAUGGCCCAAAACGUGGUGUCUCUUGGUCCAUGCAACAAAAAUCAAUUGGCUUGGGUCUUGUGGCGUCUGCUUCCUGUACCAUGGCAUGCACGAUGGAUGGGAUGGAUGGUGCGGUGUGUGCAUGCAUGCAAGGACGGUUGAGAGCAUGCAUGCAAAGAGUGUUGUUCCAUUUGGUUUAAAGGCUGCCCUUCAAUUGAUUGUUUGAUCCCUUGAUUUCUAAGUACAAUUAAAUCAGAACAUGAGUGUAAUAUCAUAUUCUCAUUAGCUAAAUCAUAUGUACAAAGGAGCGAUAGUACCUGGCCAUUUAUUUGUCUCGCUCGCGCUCUAGUAAUAGGACCAGGUGGAAUAACUGAUGUAGGAGUCGCGGCGGGUGUAACAAUAGAAGAGAUGUCCUCAUCACAGGGCUUCGCCAAGCACUACGGAGGAGGAUGAGGUUUUGGAGAAGGAAGAGGGCUGCGCCAGGGGAGAGGUUGCGGCUGCCCUUUCUCUCCCUCACUAUAUAUAGGGGGAAGGGAGGAGGGGGAGGCGCCCUAGGGUUCCCGAGGGGAAGGGCGGCGGCCACAGGGGAAACCCUAGAUGGGUUUGGGCGCCCCCACCCCUAGGAAACUUGGCCCCCAAGCCGGGAGGGGCGGCUGCCCUAGGGGUGGCGCCCCCACCUCUCCUGGUUACGUGAGAUGGGGUGGGAGGGGCGCUCAGCCCCUUAUUGGGCUGAUGUGCCCUCUCCCCUUGGCCCAUAAGGCCCCCCAACGCUUGCCGGGGCCUCCGAAACCCCUUUCGGACACGCUGGUCAUCACCUGGUAACCCCGGAACAAUUCCGGACUCCAAUACCCUUCGUCCAAUAUACCGAUCCUCACCUCCGGACCAUUCCGGAGCUCCUCGUCAUGUCUGAGAUCUCAUCCGGGACUCCGAACAACCUUCGGUAACCACAUACUAUUUCCCAUAACAACUCUAGCGUCACCGAACCUUAAGUGUGUAGACCCUACGGGUUCGGGAACCAUGCAUACAUGACCGAGACAACUCUCCGGCCAAUAACCAACAGCAGGAUCUGGAUACCCAUGUUGUCUCCCACAUGUUCCACGAUGAUCUCAUCGGAUGAACCACGAUGUCGAGGAUUCAAUCAAUCCCGUAUUCAAUUCCCUUUGUCCAGCGGUAUUGUACUUGCCCGAGAUUCGAUCGUCGGUAUCCCGAUACCUUGUUCAAUCUCGUUACUGGCAAGUCUCUUUACUCGUUCCGUAACACAUCAUCCCGUGAUCAACUCCUUGGUCACAUUGUGCACAUUAUGAUGAUGUCCUACCGAGUGGGCCCAGAGAUACCUCUCCGUUUACACGGAGUGACAAAUCCCAGUCUCGAUUCAUGCCAACCCAACAGACACUUUCGGAGAUACCUGUAGUGUACCUUUAUAGCCACCCAGUUACGUUGUGAUGUUUGGCACACCCAGAGCACUCCUACGGUAUCCGGGAGUUGCACAAUGUCAUGGUCUAAGCUUUAGCAAACGAACUACACGAUCUUGAGCUACGCUUAGGAUUGGGUCUUGUCCAUCACAUCAUUCUCCCAAUGAUGUGAUCCCGUUAUCAACGACAUCCAAUGUCCAUGGUCAGGAAACCGUAACCAUCUAUUGAUCAACGUGCUAGUCAACUAGAGGCUUACUAGGGACAUGGUGUUGUCUGUGUAUCCACACAUGUAUCUGAGUUUCCUAUCAAUACAAUUCUAGCAUGGAUAAUAAAUGAUUAUCAUGAAUAAUGAAAUAUGAUAAUAACUAAUUUAUUAUUGCCUCUAGGGCAUAUUUCCAAUAGUAACAGAUAGUUUUGUGAUAGGAUAAAUUGUAACGAGCAACAAGUAACAAAAGUAAAUAAAGUGCAGCAAGGUGGCCCAAUCCUUUUGUAGCAAAGGACAAGCCGGAACAAACUCUUAUAAUAGGAAAAGCGCUCCCAAGGACACAUGGGAAUAUCGUCAAGCUAGUUUUCAUCAUGUUCAUAUGAUUCGUGUUUGAUACUUUGAUAAUUUGAUAUGUGGGUGGACCGGUGCUUGGGUGCUGUUCUUACUUGAACAAGCAUCCCACUUAUGAUUAACCUCUAUUGCAAGCAUCCGCAACUACAACAAAAGUAUUAAGGUAAACCUAACCAUAGCAUGAAACAUAUGGAUCGAAAUCAGCCCCUUACGAAGCAACGCAUAAACUAGGGUUUAAGCUUCUAUCACUCUAGCAACCCAUCAUCUACUUAUUACUUCCCAAUGCCUUCCUCUAGGCCCAAAUAAUGGUGAAGUGUUAUGUAGUCGACGUUCACAUAACACCACUAGAGGCUAGACAACAUACAUCUUAUCAAAAUAUCAAACGAAUACCAAAUUCACAUGACUACUCAUAGCAAGACUUCUCCCUUGUCCUCAGAAACGAACGUAAUUACUCACAAAGCAUAUUCAUGUUCAUAAUCAGAGGGGUAAUAAUAUGCAUAUAGGAUCUGAACAUAUGAUCUUCCACCAAAUAAACCAACUAGCAUCAACUACAAGGAGUAAUCAACACUACUAGUAACCUACUAGCACCAAUCCCGGACUUUGAGACAAGAAUUGGAUACAAGAGAUGAACUAGGGUUUGGAGAUGAGAUGGUGCUGGUGAAGAUGUUGAUGGAGAUUGCCCUCUCCCGAUGAGAGGAGCGUUGGUGAUGACGAUGGUGAUGAUUUCCCCCUCCCGGAGGGAAGUUUCCCCAGCAGAACAGCUCUGCCGGAGCUCUAGAUUGGAUCCGCCAAGGUUCCGCCUCGUGGCGGCGGAGUCUCGUCCCAAAAAGUUCCUCUCUAUUUUUUUCUCAUCGAAAGACCUCAUAUAGGAGAAGAUGGGCAUCGGAGAGCCACCAGGGGGCCCACGAGGUAGGGGGGCGCGCCCCCACCCUCAUGAGAAGGGUGUGGGCCCCCUGGCCUUCAUCUUUGGCAUGGAUUUUUCUUUAUUUAUUUUAAGACGUUCCGUGGAGUUUUAGGACUUUUGGAGUUGCGCAGAAUAGGUCUCUAAUAUUUGCUCCUUUUCCAGACUAGAAUUCCAGCUGCCGGCAUUCUCCCUCUUUAUGUAAACCUUGUAAAAUAAGAGAAAAUAGCCAUAAGUAUUGUGACAUAAAGUGAAAUAACAGUCCAUAAUGCGAUAAAUAUCGAUAUAAAAGCAUGAUGCAAAAUGGACGUAUCAACUCCCCCAAGCUUAGACCUCGCUUGUCCUCAAGGGAAAAGCUGAUAACAAUAAAUAUGUCAUCAUUUUUAGAGGUAGAGGCGUCGCUAAAAAUAAAAUACGGACAUGAAGGCAUCAUGAUUAUUCUCAUAAUAGCAACAUAUAUAGAUUUUGUCAUAUGAUUACUUAUGUUCAAGUGAUGAUCUAUUCACAAUGCAAAAGUAUAAAUCAUAAACCUUAUUGGGCUCCGACAAACUAUAAUCUCAGUCACUGAAGCAAUUGCAAUUUAUCAUAACAUCGGAAAGAGUCUAUGUCAGAGCUAAAAAGCAAGUCCACAUACUCAACUAUCAUUUAGUCCUCCAUAAUUGCUAACACUCACGCGAUACUUGUGGUUACGGAGUUUUAAUCGGACAUAGAGAAAGAUAGGGGCUUAUAAUUUUGCCCCACAAUAUUUUACCUCAAGGGUAAUGNNNNNNNNNNNNNNNNNNNNNNNNNNNNNNNNNNNNNNNNNNNNNNNNNNNNNNNNNNNNNNNNNNNNNNNNNNNNNNNNNNNNNNNNNNNNNNNNNNNNNNNNNNNNNNNNNNNNNNNNNNNNNNNNNNNNNNNNNNNNNNNNNNNNNNNNNNNNNNNNNNNNNNNNNNNNNNNNNNNNNNNNNNNNNNNNNNNNNNNNNNNNNNNNNNNNNNNNNNNNNNNNNNNNNNNNNNNNNNNNNNNNNNNNNNNNNNNNNNNNNNNNNNNNNNNNNNNNNNNNNNNNNNNNNNNGCCAAAGGAUAAAAUGAAAAAGAAAAGGUGAAGAUCACCAUGACUCUUGCAUAAGGUAGAAGAUAAUAAUAAAGGAUAGGCCCUUUGCAGAGGGAAGCAGAGGUUGCCAUGCGCUUUUAUGGUUGGAUAUAUAAAAUCUCAAUGCGAAAGAACGUCACUUUAUAUUGCCCCUUGUGAUAUGAACCUUUAUUAUGCAGUCUGUCGCUUUUAUUACUUCCACAUCACAAGAUCAUAUAAAGCUUAUUUCUCCCACACCAAUCAAUCAUACAUAUUUAGAGCAAUUUUUAUUGCUUUGCACCGAUGACAACUUACUUGAAGGAUCUUACUCAAUCCAUAGGUAGAUAUGGUGGACUCUCAUGGCAAAACUGGUUUAAGGGUAUUUGGAAGCACAAGUAGUAUUUCUACUUGGUGCUGAGAAUUUGGCUAGCAUGAGGGGGAAGCUCAACAAGUUAGAGGAUCCAUGACAACAUACUUUAUCUCAGAUAUAAGAAAUACAUAACUCAUUACAUUGUCUUCCUUGUCCAACAUCAACUCUUUAGCAUGUCAUAUUUUAAUGAGUGAUCCCAAUCAUAAAAGAUGUCAACGAUAAUAUAUCUAUAUGUGAAAACCUCUCUUUCCUUAUUACUUCCUGUCGGUGUCAAAACUGGCGGAUCUCGGGUAGUGGGUCCCGAACUGUGCGUCUAGGCCGGAUGGUAACAGGAGGCAGGGAACACGAUGUUUUACCCAGGUUUGGGCCCUCUUGAUGGAGGUAAAACCCUAUGUCCUGCUUGAUUAAUAUUGAUGAUAUGGGUAGUACAAGAGUAGAUCUACCACAAGAUCAAGGAGGCUAAACCCUAGAAGCUAGCCUAUGGUAUGAUUGUUGUAUAUGGAGUUGAUUGCCUACGGACUACAACCCUCCGGUUUAUAUAGACACCGGAUAGGGUUAGGGUUACAUAGAGUCGAUUACAAUGGUAGGAGAUCUUGAAUAUCCGCAUCGCCAAGCUUGCCUUCCACGCCAAGGAAAGUCCCAUCCGGACACGGGACGAAGUCUUCAAUCUUGUAUCUUCAUAGUCCAGGAGUCCGGCUGAAGGUAUAGUCUGUCUACCCGAACACCCCCUAAUCCAGGACUCCCUCCGUAGCCCCUGAACCAGGCUUCAAUGACGACGAGUCUGGCGUGCAAAUUGUCUUCGGCAUUGCAAGGCAGGUUCCUCCUCCAAGUCCUUCAUAGAAGAUUGUAAACACCAAGAGUAGUGUCCGGCUCUGCAAAAUAAGCUUCCACAUAUUGCCAUAGAGAGAAUAAUAUUAACACAAAUCAAAUCUGCUGACGUAUUCCGCAGUGCGUCAUCACACUACAUCCAAGUCCUUCACUCGAAUCAUUUUCACUUUCCCACCUCAGCGUGUUUUGUGAGGCGGUUUCCUUGGCACGUCUUGUCAAAGCAGAGAUCGUGUACCCCCCUUUUAUGGGAUUCUCAUCAAUACUGACGUGGGUAACCCAACCGCGCCACUUAUCACGGCGCUUGGGAGGCAAGCGAGUUUUACUACGUAGGUGGGGAUGCACAACCCCAUCCGCCCAUAUAAGGGGACAAGGAUCCACCUUUUGACCUACGCCUUCUUCAUCCUUUGCCUAUCCAUCUCCUGCGCACCCGAGCUCCGGCGCCCAAGCCCGCACUUCCCACCUCAACCUUCUCCAGCAAUGUCCGGAGCAGGAGGCAAGUGGAUGGUCUCCUCCGUCACGGAGGGUAAAGUCAAGAAGCUAAGGAAGGCCGGAUACCUGUCCAAGGACAUCGCGCACCGGCUUCCCGAAGAGGGGCAGCUUCUCCCCACCCCAAGGCCCCAUGAGAGGGUAGUAUUUCUCCCCCACUUCCUCCGCGGACUGGGUUUUCCACUCCACCCAUUUGUUCGGGGGCUCAUGUUCUACUACGGCCUGGAUUUCCAUGAUCUGGCUCCAAACUUCAUCCUCAACAUCUCGGCGUUUAUCAUCGUGUGCGAGGCUUUUCUCCGCGUCCGCCCCCAUUUCGGCCUCUGGCUCAAGACCUUCAACGUCAAGCCCAAGGUGGUGCACGGCAGCCAGGCGGAGUGCGGAGGUGCCAUGGCGGGCAAGAUGGCCAAUGUCCUAUGGUUUGAGGGCUCUUUCGUGGAGACCCUAAAGGGAUGACAAUCCGGGUGGUUUUAUAUCACCGAGCCGCGCGAUCCGAAAUGGACCGCAGCCCCCGAGUUCCGAUCCGAACCCCCCACGCGGCUUAUGUCCUGGAAAGAGAUGGGCCUGUCGUGGGGUGACGAAAAAGAGGUGACCGGAUUGCAAACAUGCAUCCAGUCCCUGGUGAACAAGCCAGUCCGGCUUGUUAAUGUAAUCCAGGUUAUGCUCGUCCACCGGAUCCUCCCGUGCCAACAACGGGAUUUUAAUCUGUGGGAGUUCGACCGGGCGCAGCAUCAAACCCUCAGCAGGCUCUUCGACACGACGUACGAAGACGCCUGGAAGAUGCUAUUCAAGGGCGCCGAGGCUCCCGCAUCCGCUUCCGAGGACCGCGGAUACAGCUCGCAGCGUCACGCUAGCGAGGUAUGCCAUCUACACCUUUUACAUGAUGUUAAGCUUUUUUCAUAGUUUGACUCUAUGCGGGAUCUAAACUCCCUUACCUUUGACAGGCUUGGCGGGCGAUAUCCGGACCGAUUAACUGUCCGGCUCCGCUGCCCGAAGACCUAGCCCCAGCUCUACUAGUGAAGCUGCUGGCUCCGGCGCCUUAUGUGGUGCCGGAGAAGAAGGCCAAAAAGAAGAUGACCACGGGGACUCGAAAGAGUGCCCGCAACAUGGUGGUGUCGAACUCGUCAUCUGACGAGUCCGAGACGCCCUCCUCCCGUGAAAACAAGGAGGAGGAAGAAGAAAACUCUCCCCCCCCAGCGGAGGGAGGAGAGAAGAGGAAGGCCGCCCCAACGGGGGAGGCCGAGGGGUCUAGGAAAAGGGAGACCCCUCCGCCGGACUACGCCCCCAACGCCGAAGAGGGCAAGGAGGAGUGGCCAAACAGGGCCAAGCGUCCGGCGAAAUCGUAAGUUCGGAUAUCAGAGUAACUCAUGAUGUUCCUUUGUUGCACAACUUUCCCUAAUGUUGAAUGUAAUUAUGCAGUCCGCCCCGAGCCGAAUUCGACGAAUCGUCGGGCAGCUCCCUAGACUCAUCGGACGUGAACUCAGUUCCGCCCGAUGUCUCCCCCCGCACUGCAGACGACGCCGAAGUGGCGUCACGACAAGCUCCGGGGCAGGAGGAGGUGGUCCCGGAGGAGCCGCAAGGCAACCUCCCGGACUCCAGGAGUGAAGGGGAUAAGGCUCCCCAGGGCUCUAAGUCCGGCUUUGUGCCGGACACCGCACCGGAAUCAGUUCCGGACCGUGGUAGGCGAACUCCUUCCAAGAGGAGCAAGCCUUCUGAGCCGGCGGCCUCCGUCCAACCGGAGGUGCCGGACAACCUACUGGAGGUGCUUGACGACGCCUCCAUCGACGAGGGGCACCGUACUAUUAUGAGUACGGUGAUCCAGAAGGUUCAGUCCGCCAAGAGCGGACUGACUGAAGCUUCCGCUAGCCUUCUAACAGGCUUCGAGGUAAGUAAAAAUAUGUAAAAAUAUUACCGCAUAGACAGUAGCCCCUGAUGCUUUGUUUGGCGUUCGGAAAGAAAAGCCGAAUAGAGGAUCUAUUAAAUUUCGCAGGAGUCUAAAAAAAGACUCAAUAUGCGUAUGCAGGCUUCACUGCUAUCCACCGCCGCACUGACUGCGGAGGUGGGUGUCCUGAAGCAGGACCUCGAGCGGACCGAGCAAGAGCUCGGCCUUGCCAAGCGGCGGCUCGAGGAGGAAGAAGGUAAGAAAUACCUUACAGAAAAAGUGCCUAUAAAAAGGCUUGAUUGCAAAAAGAGUAACAGGAUUGUACUGCUUAUUGUAGGGGCCACGACUGAGGUGGUGACCCUUAAGCAGGCGCUGUCUGAGGCCGAAAAGAAAACGGCCGUGGAGCACACCGAGCGAGACAGACUUGGGGCUCAGGUCGGCGAGGUGCAGCAAGAGCUUCAGGCUCUCAUGAAAAAACAUGAGAGUUUGGAGCUGGAGUCGAAGGCGCAAGCAUCCGAGCUUGCAACGGCCCUAGAGGCUGCCAAGUCUGCCAAGGCCGAAGCCCAAAAGGCCCUCCAAGAGUUGGAGGAGAUGAGGAAGAUAGCAGCGGGUAAGGCAUUCUUUAUGCAAAGCAGAAAUAUAAAAGUGAACUACCUAUUACUUACCCGAAUCCGGAGCUCUCCAGGGGCAUUCGCAGAUCUUCCCCAUAGUGUAUCCGACGCCGCCGCAUUCUAUCGAGCUGAAGAGGGUAGCUCGACGGAGAAGGUGUUCUGGUCUCAGUAUUCUGAGGCCGGACACCCUGUGCCCUUGAGCGACCAGCUGAAAUAGCUGGUCGAGCUCCACAAGGCGGCCGAGCAGGCCAUGAAGGGCUUUAUAGUUCGGCUGUGGCCCGGAGAGGCCCUGCCUGGGAGCUAUUUCGGGCUGGUGCGGCGGCUGGUGGAGGCCUGUCCGAGGCUUGAGGUCAUCAAGCGCUCCGUCUGCAUCGAAGGUGCCCGUCGGGCCCUUGCCCGUGCAAAGGUGCACCGGGGUAAGCUGGACGGUGAGAAGCUUGUGAAGGACGGGCCGCCGCCGGGGAAGGAGCAUCGCAAGCCCGAGAACUACUACAAGGAUGUUCUUGCAGGUGCCCGCCUUGUGGCGGAUGAAUGUACCAAGGAUGUGAUAUUUGAAUGAACUCGCUCGUGUUUAUCAUGUGCACUGAAAACUUGUUCAUAUGCGCUAAGCAAUGCUUAUUGAAUUUAAAAUAUUACUUUCUGUGCGGCCGUUUAUCAAAAAUUGAGAGAUGGCCAGUCGUCGGCUUCUGCCCCCGUGCCACUAGUGCUGGGGUGUUCGGGAUAAACCUGAGCGCUCUUUUUCCCAUAGUUGGGUCCUUCGAGGGAGGCGCUCAGCACAACGAACCAGGCAAUCAGACUAUAAUGCUUGAACACUCUCACCUAGCCAUAGAACUCUAUAAUUUUAAAUUUCGGCGAAGCCCCUAGUUCGGAAGACCGAGUUCGGGGCGCUAUCCACGCCUUGGCCGGACAAAGCCAGCUCCUCGCUCGAAGCGGCAUAAGCCUUUAGGGACUCAAAAAACCUCUCGAACAGCGACCGGUCUCUUGCCACAUCAUGAUAGUCAGUUUUAGCUUUCUCCACUGAGGUGCUUAACCCAGCUGAACCGGGGCACAAUCGCAGUGGUUCUCCUAGUGCUACCUUAGCCGAUAGAGCGGAACGUAAGGCACAAAAACGUAGGAGCCGGGCAAACCCAACUAUUGACCCAAAUCAUGAUUCGGAGCCGAUGCAUAUAGUGCUAUAAGUUCGGGGUGCCGCACUUGUGAAAGUGUACGGACUUCUCACACCAUUAUGAGGGGUACUGAAGCCCCUGGCGUGUUUGCCGUACCAUGGUGUACGGGUGCAAUCAUGUCAUUUAAUAAACAUAAAUGUGAAAAGAAGAUAAUGCAAAAAAUAGACCAGAAGCUAAGCAUUGUUUAUAGAGAGGCUAUUUAUCAAAGCCGAAUGAUACAAAUAGUGCGGUAAGCAAAAGAUAUUGGACUAUUCAGUAUGUCCUGACCAGGGGCGGGCCGCGGAAUUGUAUUUAAAACAGGUAUACCGCUCGUAACAGAGACCACCUGGGAGUUCCAUAAUGCGGCAUGGCUUGUCUGCCUCCCUGGAUCUUGCAUCGUUUGUGCGGCAGUCGAAUUGCCGAAUAGGUCGUCCGAAGUAUGGAGUCCUGAAAGUAAGAAAAAAUUAAAAAAAGAAUCCGGCAGCCCCUAGUACGUUUUAAGCCGUAUUUUGGGCGUGCCGUUAUUGUGCCCCUUCCCCUGUGCCCAUGGUAUUUCAAGGGCGUAGUUAUGUACGCGAGGUACUGGUUUCGCUAUGUCGCGAAAGCUGGGGUUGGGGCCGCAUUGCUACGCUUGCUCAGAGUGUGCCAGGCGGUCCUGCUGUGGGUUACUCUGGGCGCGCUUGGCAGUGUCUGGCUUUUUAAUGGCCGGACUGGAGAAUUGCCUGAGAAGGCUACUUUGUACUUCCGCUGCGAGAGCCGCCGUAUGCUCCUCCGUAUGGAGGGAGCGUUCGAUGUUUCCGUUGACCGUAAUUACUCCUCGAGGGCCUGGCAUCUUGAGCUUGAGAUAUGCAUAGUGCGGCACUGCAUUGAACUUUGUGAAUGCGGUUCGUCCGAGCAGGGCGUGAUAGCCAGUGUGAAACGGGACUAUAUAGAAGAUUAAAUCUUCGCUUCGGAAAUUGUCCGGGGAUCCGAAGACCACGUCAAGUGUUACUGAGCCUGUACAGUUGGCUUCUACACCUGGUAUAACGCCUUUAAAGGUCGUUCUUGUGGGAUUAAUACUUGAGGGAUCUAUGCCCAUUUUCCACACUGUAUCCUGAUAAAGCAGGUUCAGGCUACUGCCGCCGUCCAUGAGGACUCUUGUGAGAUGAAAUCCGUUGAUGAUUGGGUCAAGAACCAAUGCGGCAAAGCCGCCAUGAUGGAUGCUAGUGGGAUGGUCCCUUCGAUCAAAAGUGAUCGGGCAGGAGGACCAUGGGUUGAACUUUGGGGCGACUGGCUCCAUCGCGUAUACGUCCCGUAGCGCAUGCUUCCGCUCCCGCUUGGGAAUGUGGGUUGCGUAUAUCAUGUUCACUGUCCGCACUUGUGGGGGAAAGCCCUUCUGUCCAUUGUUGUUCGGCGGCUUGGGCUCCUCGUCGUCGCUGUGCAGCCCCUUGUCUCUGUUUUCGGCCCUUAACUUGCCUGCCUGCUUGAACGCCCAACAAUCCCUGUUAGUGUGAUUGGCAGGCCUUUCGAGGGUGCCAUGUAUCUGGCACAAGUGAUCGAGUAUUCGGUCCAAACUGGACGGGCCCUGAGUAUUCUUUUUGAAUGGCUUUUUCCGCUGACUGGAUUUAUAGCCUUCGAAUCCGGCAUUGACUACCGUGUCUUCAUUGCUGUCGCUGCUAACGCGGCGUUUUUGCUUAUUCCAACGUGUCCUGCCACUUUUGUCCUUGGUAUCCGAAUUACCAGGGUUCUUUGAUAAGUUGUUACUGCGAGCUAGCCAGCUGUCUUCUCCCGCGCAAAAGCGGGUCAUGAGUGUCGUGAGGGCUGCCAUGGAUUUCGGCUUUUCCUGUCCCAGGUGCCGGGCAAGCCACUCGUCGCGCAUGUUAUGCUUGAAGGAUGCUAGGGCCUCUGCGUCCGGACAGUCGACUAUCUGGUUUUUCUUUGUUAGGAACCGUGUCCAGAAUUGUCUGGCCGAUUCCUCUGGCUGCUGAAGUAUGUGGCUUAAGUCGUCGGCAUCCGGUGGUCGCACGUUAAGUGCCCUGGAAGUUGUCGAGGAAUGCGGCUUCCAGGUCCUCCCAAGAACCGAUUGAGUCUGCUGGCAAGCUGUUAAGCUAAUGCCGGGCCCAUCCUUUAAGUUUGAGCGGGAGGUAUUUGAUGGCGUGUAGAUCAUCGCCGCGUGCCAUGUGGAUGUGAAGGAGAUAAUCCUCGAUCCAUACCGCCGGAUCUGUUGUGCCAUCGUAUGAUUCGAUGUUUACGGGUUUGAAACCCUCUGGGAUUUUAUGAUCCAUUACUUCAUUCGUGAAGCAUAGCGGGUGUCCGGUGCCUCUGUACUGGGCUAUAUCACGACGCAGCUCGGAAGAGCUAUGUCUGUUGUGUUCGGCCCGGCCGGAUUUGUUGUAUCCGGAGUGAAGAUCAUUGUCGCAUGCCGUAGGGCGCCUGCGCGAUCCGUAGAUCGAUCUUGUUUGUCUUGCCUUAUCCUCCAGUAUGUCUCGCAGGUCGGGCGCAUUUUCCCGUGCCUUAGUUGAGCGGCGUCGGGGCAUGGCUUGGGUGGAGGGCCGAGAGGCCUCUCUGUCACGGCCGCGAGGUGGCCGGUCUGCCAUGUCAUGCGCUGGUGAUGUAGGUGCUUCCUCCUCUGAUCGGGGUAGCGGCCUGCGCUUCGAGUAACUCUUGGAGGGGCGUUCGAGUUCAUACUCUUCGGCCGCAAGGACUUCAGUCCGUCUGUCAGCUAGCAAAUCUUGGGCAGCUCUAAGAUGUUGCUGCUUUUUCUUGAGGCUGCUUGCCGUGGCUAAAAGCCUGCGUUUAAAAUGCUCUUGUUCGGCGGGGUCUGAUGGUAUGACGAAUUCGUCGUCAUCGAGGCUUGCCUCGUCUUCGGAGGGAGGCGUAUAGUUAUCAUCCUCGACCUCUCGGUCUGCCGCUCUCUCAUGAGGGCUGGCUUCUCCAUCUUCCUGUGCCGAAUCUUGCUGAGGUGGGUGUUCUUCGGCGCUAUCUGGGGUAGUAUUAUCUCCCGUGCCAGAAUCACCGUUUUUGCUUUGGCGGGAUUUAGAGCGGCGCCGCUGACGCCGGCGCUUUGGCUGUUUCUUGGGGGCGUCAUCCCCCGCUGUUCCAUCGCCAUCUCCAUCUUUUGGAGUAUCCACCAUAUAUAUGUCAUAUGACGAGGUGGCCUUCCAGCGCCCUACAGGUGCUAGUUCCUGUUCGUCUCCUACAUCGUCGUCCAUGCCGUCGAUGUCUUCGGAGCCGAAGUCAAGCAUGCCGGUUAGAUCAUCGACAGUGGCUACAAAGUGGGUGGUGGGUGGGCUUUGAAUUUCCUUAUCGUCCGUAUCCCACCCUCGCUGGCCGUAGUCCAGCCAGGGCUCUCCUGAUAAAGAGAGAGACUUAAGAGAAUUCAGGAUGUCGCCAAAAGGCGAAUGCUGAAAGAUGUCUGCGGCGGUGAACUCCAUUAUCGGCGCUCAAUCGGAUUCGAUUGGCAAGGGCGCGGGGGGUUCGGAGUACGGGGAGGAGUCCGGAUCCUUGGAGUCACGGGUCGUGCAGAGUGCGGGGCUAGCGUUCGGCUCGAUCACUUUCGGGAUCGCAGCCCCUGAGGUGACGUCCAACCGCUCAUCCUCGAUUGGCGCAAUAGGCUCCGAGUUAGGGGUCGGAACCGAUGCGUGUGCGACCUCCAGGACACUAUCCGGGGGCAGAGCUAGAUCAUAGAUCAUGCCCCUCGAGAUAGUGCGGCGCGCUUGGCCGUGACUCGAGUCCGUCGAAGAUCAAGUCUCCGCGGAUGUCAGCCGUGUAGUUUAAGCUUCCAAACCUGACUUGAUGGCCAGGGGCGUAGCUUUCGAUCUGCUCCAGGUGGCCGAGCGAAUUGGCCCGUAGAGCGAAGCCGCCGAAGACGAAGAUCUGUCUAGGGAGCAAAGUCUCACCCUGGACCGCAUCGUUGUUGAUGAUCAAAGGAGCCAUCGGGCCUAAAGGCGAUGACACAGAGGAACUCUAAAUGAAAGCACCAAUGUCGGUGUCAAAACCAGCGGAUCUCGGGUAGUGGGUCCCGAACUGUGCGUCUAGGCCGGAUGGUAACAGGAGGCAGGGAACACGAUGUUUUACCCAGGUUCAGGCCCUCUUGAUGGAGGUAAAACCCUACGUCAUGCUUGAUUAAUAUUGAUGAUAUGGGUAGUACAAGAGUAGAUCUACCAUGAGAUCAAGGAGGCUAAACCCUAGAAGCUAGCCUAUGGUAUGAUUGUUGUAUAUGGAGUUGAUUGCCUACGGACUACAACCCUCCGGUUUAUAUAGACACCGGAUAGGGUUAGGAUUACAUAGAGUCGGUUACAAUGGUAGGAGAUCUUGAAUAUCCGCAUCGCCAAGCUUGCCUUCCACGCCAAGGAAAGUCCCAUCCGGACAUGAGACGAAGUCUUCAAUCUUGUAUCUUCAUAGUCCAGGAGUCCGGCUGAAGGUAUAGUCCGGCUACCCGAACACCCCCUAAUCCAGGACUCCCUCACUUCCUAUUAAUUGCAACAAUGACCAAAGCUAUGUCUGCCAACUCCCAACAACUUUUAAUCAUCAUACUCUUUCUAUGUGAAGUCAUUACUCUCAAUAAGAUCAAUAUGAACUUUUUGUUUCUUUUUAUUCUUUUUCUCUUUUCUUUUAUUCACCCAAGAUCAUGGCAAAAUAAUCAAGCCCUUGACUCAACACUAAUCUUUAUUAUAUAUAGCUCACGGACUUGAUUACAUAGAGAGAUCAUAAAGCAAAACUCAAAACUAGAUCAUGCCAUAAACUUUAUUCUACUAGAUCAAGAUACUACUAAUAGGAUUGAACUAGGAAAAACGGUAAAGAUAAGAGUUGUGAUUGUGAUGCGAUACCGGGGCACCUCCCCCAUGCUUGGCAGUUGCCAAGGGGAGUGGCCAUACCCAGAUACUCAAUUCUUCUUUGUUGGAGGAGACGGCGGAGGUGUUGUUGAUGAUGCGGGCUGGUCAUCCAUCUUCCAAGGCAUAGGUUCACCAUCAUAGAAAGAUGAUCGAGUCUUUGGAAUCCUCAAAUCUGCAGGCAAACUCAUUCUUUUGAAUCUAUAUUCAUACUCACAGUUUUGGGUUUGAAGGUCAUAUACUUGGGCUUGAAGGUGCUCGAUCUUCUCAUAUAGCUUGAAGAUGGCUUCCUCGGUGUUCUUGGCAUCCGGCUUGUAAUUGUUAGUGAACUCCGCGAGCAUCGUGUGGCUGGCGUUGAUUCCACGCUCCACCAUCCCCUAGCACUUGAAAACUUGUUGCUCCAAUGCUUCGAGCCUCGUCUCUAUGCUUCCGGUCCCCUUUGGUCCCUCUUCAUCGCGGAUGUGUAGCAACCCAUCACACAACUCAAUGGUUUGAGGGUGUCGCAGCACCUCCGCGAGGUAAGGGUUGAUGACCUUCUCGAAGAACUUGUCCUUGGAGGCGCUUGGGGCCAUCAUGAUAACCUAGAUCUGUCAAAAAAUAGCUCGAAACAAAAACAGAGGAGGUUUGCAUGAUACGGGAGUCAAAACCUUCGGGAGAAUAUAUAAUGAAUUUUUACCGAGCAAAAUACGUAACGUGCAAGAAAACGGAGUCCGGAAGGCACACGAGGUGCUCACGAGGUAGGGGGCGCACCCAGGGGGUAGGGCGCGCCCACCACCCUCGUGGGGCCCUCGUGUCCUUCCCGGACUACUACUUAUUUUUCUAUUUUUCUAAAUAUUCCAAAACGGAGAAAUAUUGCCCUAAAAAUUGUUUUGGAGUCGGUUUACUUACCGUACCACAUACCUAUUCCUUUUCGGAGUCUGAAACAUUCCGGAAAGUGUCUCUUAUGUAUUCCUCCAGGGUUAUAGUUUCAAUAAUAUUGGUUUCAACAUUUAUGGGAUUACCUGUGAUAUAAUGUUUAAUUCUUUGACCGUUUACCACCUUCGGAUUUGUGCCUUCGAAGUUGUUGAUUUUUAUGGCACCGGAACGAUAGACCUCUUCGAUAACAUAGGGGCCUUCCCAUUUAGAGAGAAGUUUUCCUGCAAAAAAUCUUAAACGAGAGUUGUAUAGCAAUACAUAAUCACCUACAUUAAACUCACGCUUUUGUAUCCUUUUUUCAUGCCAUUUUUUAACUUUUUCUUUAAACAACUUGGCAUUUUCAUAUGCUUGGGUUCUCCAUUCAUCAAGUGAGCUAAUAUCAAAUAACCUCUUUUCACCGGCAAGUUUAAAAUCAUAGUUAAGCUCUUUAAUAGCCCAGUAUGCCUUAUGUUCUAGUUCGAGGGGUAAGUGACAUGCUUUUGCAUAGACCAUUUUAUACGGAGACAUACCCAUAGGAUUUUUGUAUGCAGUUCUAUAAGCCCAUAAUGCAUCAUCAAGUUUCUUAGACCAAUUCUUUCUAGACCUAUUAACAAUCUUUUGCAAAAUUAAUUUGAGCUCUCUAUUGCUUAACUCAACUUGACCACUAGACUGUGGGUGAUAAGGAGAUGCAAUUCUAUGAUUAACAUCAUAUUUAGCAAGCAUUUUACGGAAAGCACCAUGAAUAAAGUGUGAACCACCAUCAGUCAUUAAAUAUCUAGGGACUCCAAACCUUGGGAAAAUAACUUCUUUAAGCAUUUUAAUAGAAGUGUUAUGAUCAGCACUACUAGUUGGAAUAGCUUCUACCCACUUAGUAACGUAAUCAAUAGCAACUAGAAUAUGUGUGUAUCCAUUAGAGGCAGGAAAAGAUCCCAUAUAAUCAAAACCCCAAACAUCAAACGGUUCAAUAACUAGUGAAUAAUUCAUAGGCAUUUCUUGACGUCUACUAAUAUUACCAAUUCUUUGACAUUCAUCACAAGACAAUACAAACUUACGGGCAUCCUUGAAGAGAGUAGGCCAAUAAAAACCAGAUUGCAAUACCUUAUGUGCAGUUCUAUCUCCAGCGUGGUAUCCUCCAUAAGACUCGGAAUGACACUUGCGUAGGAUCUAUUCCUGUUCAUGCUCAGGUACACAUCGUCUAAUAACACCAUCUACUCCUUCUUUAUAAAGAUGUGGGUCAUCCCAAAAGUAAUGUCUUAAAUCAUAGAAGAACUUUUUCUUUUGUUGGUAUGUGAAGCUAGGUGGUAUAAAUUUAGCAACAAUAUAAUUAGCAUAAUCAGCAUACCAUGGAGUACUACGAGAAGUACUUAUAACAUUUAAUUGUUCAUCAGGAAAGCUAUCAUUAAUAGGUAGUGGGUCAUCAAGAAUAUUUUCUAACCUAGACAGGUUGUCUGCAACGGGGUUCUCAGCUCCCUUUCUAUCAACAAUAUGCAAAUCAAAUUCUUGUAGCAAGAGAACCCCUCUAAUUAGUCUAGGUUUAGCAUCUUUCUUUUCCAUAAGAUAUUUAAUAUCAGCAUGAUCUGUUUGAAUAGUUACUUUAGAAUCAACAAUAUAAGAUCUGAACUUAUCACAAGCAAAUACAACUGCUAAGAGUUCUUUUUCAGUAGUAGCAUAAUUUCUUUGAGCAUUGUCUAGAGUCUUACUAGCAUAAUGAAUAACAUUUAAUUUCUUAUCAACUCUUUGCCCUAGACCAGCACUAGCAUCACACAUAAUUUCAAAGGGUAGGUUCCAAUCAGGUGGCUGAACAACAGGUGCAGAGACUAAUGCUUUCUUAAGUAUUUCAAUGCUUCUACACAAUCAUCAUCAAAGACAAAUGGUAUAUUUUUGGCAAUAAAUUAGUCAGAGGCCGAGAAAUUUUUGAGAAGUCCUUAAUGAACCUCCUAUAAAAUCCAGCGUGACCAAGGAAACUUCUUAUACCUUUGAUGUCCUUGGGACAUGACAUCUUUUCAGUAGCAUCAACCUUGGCUUUAUCAACUUCAAUACCUCUUUCAGAAACUUUGUGCCCCAAGACAAUACCUUCAUUAACCAUAAAGUGGCACUUUUCCCAAUUCAAGACAAGAUUAGUUUCUUCACAUCUCUGCAAAACUCGAUCAAGAUUGCUCAAGCAAUCAUCAAAAGAGGAACCAUAGACGGAAAAGUCGUCCAUGAAAACCUCACAAAUCUUUUCACAAAAGUCAAGAGAAUAUAGCCAUCAUGCAUCUUUGAAAGGUAGCAGGUGCAUUACAUAAACCAAAAGGCAUACGUCUAUAAGCAAAAGUACCAAAAGGGCAUGUAAAAGUAGUCUUUGAUUGAUCUCUAGCCGACAUAGGUAUUUGAGAGAAACCAGAAUAACCAUCUAGAAAGAAAUAGUGUGUAUGUUUGCAUAAUCUUUCUAGCAUUUGAUCAAUAAAAGGUAAGGAGUAAUGAUCUUUCUUAGUAGCUUUAUUUAAUUUGCGGAAAUCAAUUACCAUCCUAUAACCUGUGAUAAUUAUUUGUGGAAUCAAUUCAUCUUUAUCAUUAGGAACAACAGUAAUACCUCCCUUCUUAGGGACACAAUGGACAGGACUUACCCACUCACUAUCAGCAACGGGAUAGAUUAUACCUGCCUCCAAAAGCUUUAGUGUUUCUUUUCUUACCACUUCUUUCAUUUUAGGAUUCAGACGUCGUUGAGGAUCACGAACUGGUUUGGCAUCUGCUUCCAAAUUUAUUUUAUGUUGACAUAGAGUGGGACUAAUGCCCUUAAGAUCAUCAAGAGUGUAUCCAAUAGCAGCACGAUGCUUCUUCAGAGUUUUCAAUAAUCUUUCUUCUUCAUGCUCUGAAAGGUUAGCACUAAUAAUAACAGGAUAUAUCUUCUUUUUAUCAAGAUAAGCAUAUUUAAGAUUAUCAGGCAACGGUUUAAGCUCAAACACGGGAUCACCCUUGGGUGGAGGAGGAUCCCCUAAAAUUUCAACAGGCAAGUUGUGAUGCAGAAUAGGUUCCUGUUUAAAGAAUACUUCAUCUAUUUCCCUUCUUUCAUUCAUGAACAUAUCAUUUUCAUGGUCUAGCAAAUAAUGUUCUAAAGGAUCACUAGGAGGUACGGCAAUAGAAGCAAGACCAAUAAUUUCAUCCUUACUAGGUAAUUCUUCCUCACGAUGUUGUUUACUAAAUUUAGAGAAAUUAAACUCAUGAACCAUAUCAUCCAAACCAACAGUAACAAUAUUCUUAGUGGAGUCUAUGGUAGCAUUGACAGUAUUUAAAAAGGGUCUACCAAAUAUAAUUGGACAAAAGCUAUCUUGCGGAGAAGUAAGAACAAGAAAAUUAGCAGGAUAUUUAGUUUUCCCACACAAGACUUCAACAUCUCUAACAAUUCCAAUUGGUGCAAUAGUAUCUCUAUUAGCAAGUUUAAUAGUAACAUCAAUGUCUUCUAACUCAACAGGUGCAAUUUCAUUCUUAAUUUCUUUGUAUAAGUCAUGAGGUAUAACACUAGCACUAACACCCAUAUCACAUAAGCCAUGAUAACAAUGAUCUCCUAUUUUAACAGAAAUAACAUGCACGCCUACCACAGGUCUAUGUUUAUCCUUAUCACAAGGUUUAGCAAUUCUAGCAGUUUCACCUUCGAACUGAAUAACAUGCCCAUCAAUAUUAUCAGACAAGAGAUCUUUAACAAUAGAAAUAUUAGGUUCUACUUUAACUUGCUCAGGAGGUGUAUAAGUUCUAAUAUUGCUUUUACGAACAACAAUUGAAGCUUUAGCAUGAUCCUUUAUUCUAACAGGGAAAGAUGGUUUCUCAAUAUAAGAAGUAGGAACAAUAGGAUCAUUAUAAGUGAUAGUCUUUUCUUCAACUUUAAUAGGUGCAGCUACUUUUACUUCUAUGGGAGGAUGAUAUUUAAACCACUUCUCCUUAGGGAGAUCAACAUAAGUGGCAAAAGAUUCACAGAAAGAAGCUACUAUCUCAGAGUCAAGUCCAUAUUUAGUGCUAAACUUACGGAAAAUAUCGGUAUCCAUAAAAGAUUUAACACAAUCAAACUUAGGUGUCAUACCUGACUCUUUACCUUCAUCGAGGUCCCAAUCUUCAGAGUUGCGUUUAAUUCUAUCCAAUAAAUUCCAUCUGAAUUCAGUAGUCUUCAUCAUAAAAGAGCCAGCACAAGAAGUAUCGAGCAUGGUGCGAUUGUUUUCAGAAAGCCAAGCAUAAAAACUUUGCAUAAUUAUUUCUCUCGAGAGCUCAUGAUUGGGGCAUGAAUAUAACAUUGAUUUAAGCCUCCCCCAAGCUUGAGCGAUGCUUUCUCCUUCGCGAGGCCAGAAAUUAUAUAUAUAAUUGCGAUCAUGAUGAACAAGAUGCAUAGGGUAAUACUUCUGAUGAAAUUCCAGCUCCAAUCUUUUAUAGUCCCAUGAUCUCAUAUCAUCACAUAGCCUAUACCAUAUCAAUGCGUAUCCCUUCAAAGAUAAACGGAAGACCUUCUUCUUAGCAACAUCAUCGGGUAUACCUGCAAGCUUAAAUAAUCCACAAACUUCAUCCACAUAUAUUAAGUGCUCAUCAGGAUGCUUUGUUCCAUCUCCUGUAAAAGGAUUAGCUAGCAGUUUUUCUAUCAUACCCGAAGGAUACUCAUAAGGAAUUUCAUUUUCAAUAGGUUCAGUAGGUUGAGGAGCAACUCUUUUCUCUACUGGUCGGGGUGAAGAUACCCCGAACAAGCCCCUCAGAGAAUUACUUUCCAUAGUAACAAGUGACAGUAAAUUUCAGCACACUAUAUAAAUUUUUCCUUACCAAAUUCCACCUACCAAAGGCGCUACACUCCCCGGCAACGGCGCCAGAAAAGAGUCUUGAUGACCCACAAGUAUAGGGGAUCUAUCGUAGUCCUUUCGAUAAGUAAGAGUGUCGAACCCAACGAGGAGCAGAAGGAAAUUAUAAGCGGUUUUCAGCAAGGUAUUCUCUGUAAGUACUGAAAUAAGUGGUAACAGAUAGUUUUGUGAUAGGAUAAAUUGUAACGAGCAACAAGUAACAAAAGUAAAUAAAGUGCAGCAAGGUGGCCCAGUCCUUUUGUAGCAAAGGACAAGCCGGAACAAACUCUUAUAAUAGGAAAAGCGCUCCCGAGGACACAUGGGAAUAUCGUCAAGCUAGUUUUCAUCAUGUUCAUAUGAUUCGCGUUCGAUACUUUGAUAAUUUGAUAUGUGGGUGGACCGGUGCUUGGUUGAUGUUCUUACUUGAACAAGCAUCCCACUUAUGAUUAACCUCUAUUGCAAGCAUCCGCAACUACAACAAAAGUAUUAAGGUAAACCUAACCAUAGCAUGAAACAUAUGGAUCCAAAUCAGCCCCUUACAAAGCAACACAUAAACUAGGGUUUAAGCUUCUGUCACUCUAGCAACCCAUCAUCUACUUAUUACUUCCCAAUGCCUUCCUCUAGGCCCAAAUAAUGGUGAAGUGUUAUGUAGUCGACAUUCACAUAACACCACUGGAGGCUAGACAACAUACAUCUUAUCAAAAUAUCAAACGAAUACCAAAUUCACAUGACUACUCAUAGCAAGACUUCUCCCUUGUCCUCACGAACGAACGUAAUUACUCACAAAGCAUAUUCAUGUUCAUAAUCAGAGGGGUAAUAAUAUUCAUAUAGGAUCUGAACAUAUGAUCUUCCACCAAAUAAACCAACUAGCAUCAACUACAAGGAGUAAUCAACACUACUAGCAACCUACUAGCACCAAUCCCGGACUUUGAGACAAGGAUUGGAUACAAGAGAUGAACUAGGGUUUGGAGAUGAGAUGGUGCUGGUGAAGAUGUUGAUGGAGAUUGCCCUCUCCUGAUGAGAGGAGCGUUGGUGAUGACGAUGGUGAUGAUUUCCCCCUCCCGGAGGGAAGUUUCCCCGGCAGAACAGCUCUGCCGGAGCUCUAGAUUGGAUCCGCCAAGGUUCCUCCUCGUGGCGGCGGAGUCUCGUCCCGAAAAGUUCCUCUCUAUUUUUUUCUCAUCGAGAGACCUCAUAUAGGAGAAAAUGGGCAUCGGAGAGCCACCAGGGGGCCCACGAGGUAGGGGGCGCGCCCUAGGGGGGGCGCCCCCCACCCUCGUGAGAAGGGUGUGGGCCCACUGCCCUUCAUCUUUGGCGUGUAUUUUUCUUUAUUUCUUUUAAGACGUUCCGUGGAGUUUCAGGACUUUUGGAGUUGCGUAGAAUAGGUCUCUAAUAUUUGCUGCCUUUCCAGACCAGAAUUCCAGUUGCCGGCAUUCUCCCUCUUUAUGUAAACCUUGUAAAAUAAGAGAAAAUAGCCAUAAGUAUUGUGACAUAAAGUGAAUAACAGCCCAUAAUGCGAUAAAUAUCGAUAUAAAAGCAUGAUGCAAAAUGGACGUAUCACCUACGCACACGCAAGAUCAUGGUGAUGCAUAGCAACGAGAGGGGAGAGUGUUGUCCACGUACCCUCGUAGACCAAAAACGGAAGCGUUAGCACAACACGGUUGAUGUAGUCGUACGUCUUCACGAUCCGACCGAUCAAGUACCGAACGCACGGCACCUCCGAGUUCAGCACACGUUCAGCCCGAUGACGUCCCUCGAACUCCGAUCCAGCCGAGUGUUGAGGGAGUGUUUCGUCAGCACGACGGCGUGGUGACGAUGAUGAUGUUCUACCGACGCAGGGCUUCGCCUAAGCACCGCUACAGUAUUAUCGAGGUGGAGUAUGGUGGAGGGGGGCACCACACACGGCUAAAAGAUCAACAUAUCAAUUGUUGUGUCUAUGGGGUGCCCCCUGGCCACGUAUAUAAAGGAGUGGAGGAGGGGAGGGGCCGGCCCUCUCUAUGGCGCGCCCUAGGGGAGUCCUACUCCCACCAGGAGAAGGAUUCCCCUUUUCCUAGUAGAACUAGGAGCCCUUCCAAGUAGUAGGAGUAGGAGAGAAGGAAAGGGAAAAGAGAAGAGAAGGAAGGAGGGGUCGCAGCCCUCCCCCUUAGUCCAAUUCGGACUAGGCCUUGGGGGCGUGCAGCCUGCCUCUCUCUCUUUCCCCUAACCCAAUAAGGCCCAUACACUCCCCGGCGAAUUCCCGUAACUCCCCGGUACUCCGAUAAAUACCCGAAUCACUCGGAACCUUUCCGAUGUCUGAAUAUAGUCGUCCAAUAUAUCGAUCUUUACGUAUCGACCAUUUUGAGACUUCUCGUCAUGUCCCCGAUCUCAUCCGGGACUCCAAACUACCUUCGGUACAUCGAAACACAUAAACUCAUAAUAUAACCGUCAUCGAACUUUAAGCGUGCGGACCCUACGAGUUCGAGAACUAUGUAGACAUGACCGAGACACGUCUCCAGUCAAUAACCAAUAGCGGAACCUGGAUGCUCAUAUUGACUCCCACAUAUUCUACGAAGAUCUUUAUCGGUCAAACCACAUAACAACAUACGUUGUUCCCUUUGUCAUCGGUAUGUUACUUGCCUGAGAUUCGAUCUUCGGUAUCUCAAUACCUAGUUCAAUCUCGUUACCGGCAAGUCUCUUUACUCGUUCCGUAAUACAUCAUCCCGCAACUAACUCAUUAGUUGCAAUGCUUGCAAGGCUUAAGUGAUGUGUAUUACUGAGUGGGCCCAAAGAUACCUCUCCAACAAUCGGAGUGACAAAUCCUAAUCUCGAAAUACGCCAACCCAACAAGUACCUUCGAAGACACCUUUACGUUGUGACGUUUGGUAGUACACAAAGUGUUCCUCCGGUAAACGGGAGUUGCAUAAUCUCAUAGUCAUAGGAACAUGAUAAGUCAUGAAGAAAGCUAUAGCAACAAACUAAACGAUCAAGUGCUAAGCUAACGGAAUGGGUCAAGUCAAUCACAUCAUUCUCCUAAUGAUGUGAUCCCGUUAAUCAGAUGACAACUCUUUGUCUAUGGCUAGGAAACAUAACCAUCUUUGAUCAAUGAGCUAGUCAAGUAGAGGCAUACUAGUGACACUCUGUUUGUCUAUGUAUUCACACAUGUAUCAUGUUUCCGAUUAAUAUAAUUCUAGCAUGAAUAGUAAACAUUUAUCAUGAUAUAAGGAAAUAAAUAAUAACUUUAUUAUUGCCUCUAGGGCAUAUUUCCUUCACCUCCCUCAUCCCUCAUAUUUUAAAACUGGACAAGUUUAACCCAAACCCGUAAAGAAAGUUGUAUUAGGCUGGCAUGUCCUCGGGUUUGACUAAGCCCAAUUCUUUUCAGCUUUUGAUUCUCGAGAAUCAACUUUUGGGAAACUUCUCACAAAAUCAACCAUCGAGUUCUUUUCUGAGAUUGUGGUGGUCUGAGAUUACGGGAUGAGUUUGUGUGCUGACAUGUCUAUAAUGUCCUUAAACUAAAACUGGGUGUUGAAACGAUAGCAUUCAAAUUAGCACAUAGUAGAAGCAAAAAAGAACCAUUCAUAGUUGCAUUGAGUAAUCACAGUUUUUUUAACCAAGUCAUCUUCCCUUUACAGUUGCAUUGAGCAUUUAUAGUAGUAAAAAGAAAAUUACAUGAUCGGUCCAUUCAUCCAUCCAUCUACGAAAAACCUAGCACCAUUGAUCCAUCCAUCAAGCAAAUCAUGUACUAAGCAUCUACAUACAUCCCGUAAAAAAAGCAUCUACAUAUAUUCAUUUUAUCCAACUUUCAUGUACAAGAGGGGAACUAGAAUAGAGAGAUGAACAAACACCGAAGGAGGAGAGGCUCACCAGGCAGCGGUGCAAGAGAGUUGUGGCCGCGGGAUGAGCUCUUCCACCGCUGGGAUUGGAUGAUUUACCCCACUUUAUAAGGGAUUGCAUGAUUUGCCCCAGGGUUGUUUCAAUUACCAGUGGCUCCGAUCCCACCCGGCAGCCUCUCAGGAGGGCAAAUUAUCAAAUGGGGAAGUAAAGUGGGGCCAAAGAUUUAAUUUCUCGAAAAUCGAGCGAGGGGAGACCGAUCGAGCCAACCCAAUCGUUUUCUCGGGCGGAAGGGCAUUUUGCCCGUAAUUUUGCCUUUAAACAAAGGGUAUGCCCUAAAAAUUAAAAUGUUUUCUUUUGAGGGAGAUCCAAAAUCGACCCAAAACGAUGCUUCUAAGUUGCACUGUCGAUUGUGGUUCGAUUUUCAUAAUUCUACAUAAUCAAAUCAAGUUCUUUUAAGCUUCUGAUUUUCCAGACCCUGAUUCUUCAUAAUCAGGUCAAAAGAACUGGGCCUAAGAACAUCUCAAGUUACUGCCAUCCCAUCUCAACUCAUCUCAUUUCUCUGGAUGCAUAAGCAGCAUUUUGUCGAACAUCUUGUGUGCGUUCGGCCUCCACGCCGCCGGCGUAACACCGAGCUCAAGUCCGGUCACCUUGCGCUGGUGGCCAAGCGCACUACACCAGUUCGCACCACACACGCCGCCACUCAUCGUCGACAAGCGGCAGGGCAUCAAUGAACGAGCCGAAUGAGGUGGUAGACGGCGCAUACGAGCAGGAGAAUUGUUCAGCUCCUGAGCGAGGCAUCGCGUAGGCGGCGCGUGUCGUGGCGGCGCCCGCGCGUCCAGGCCCGUCGGGAGCAGCAGGCCGGCGUUGCUGCGCAUGACGUACGCGCUGUGCUGCAUGCUCCCGCGUCGGCUACUGCAAUGGCCCGAAGCGUGUGGCGGCGUGCCGAUCGACCAACGUCAUGUCGCCGCCGAGGAGGGCCACCAGGAUGCGCACAUCGCUGGCGGCCACGGCCAGCUCGCCGACGAUGAGGCAAGUGUGAUUACCCCCGGGAAAUGCAUGCCAGCUGUUCGAUAAAAUGACUACAAUAAAGUUUCAAUACCAGCCCAAUACCGCUCCAUUUUCUGGUUCUGGACGAAACAUGUCUGAUUUUGAAACACAAGGGACCAAAUGUCGACGGAAAAAAGAUGAGGGAUCCAAUGUCUACUUGUAAACUUGAGGGACCAACAAUAUACACUUUUCUCAAAACAAAACAGAUAUGAAACUCAAACAAAUAUUCAUGUUUGUCUAGAUCAUGUGCAAGAAGGAUAUAUAUAGACACACACACAAGCAUGCAUAGAGAGGUGUUCUUCAGUUCUUGCAUAUUAACUGAGAUUCAUUUUUGCGCUUGCAGCAUAGAACGAAGACAAGUUGCGACUUCAGUGAAUGAAGGUCUUCGCUCAGGCUCAGUUGACCAGCAUUGCUCCAUGAGUUUCCUCCAUUCCGGGUUACAUGAAGUGGGCACUGGCGGCCUCAGUGUGUCACUCAAAAUACCCCCUGCACACUCCCAUUGGAAACUAAUGUUUAAUAAUUUACUCAAGAAGAGCGAAGGUAUGUUUUCGGUUAAAUUAGCAUAUAAAUUUACCACCUGGUUCCCUGAACUUGAGAAUUACACACCCAGGCACCUAAACUUGUAUAAAUGAAUAUAUUCAACUACCUAGGUGACUAGUAGCAACUAUAUAUGAUUUUGCUAUAACUUACUGUUUGGCUUUGUGUAGAUCAUGUGAAAUUAACGAAUAAUGAUGUUCUUUUGUUUAAAUGAAGUUAACAUAGAUCCUGCAAACAUUCUCGCCUUUCAUGACCUUUCUUUUCAAGAAGAUCUCAAGAUUUAGCUUAAAUAAGUUGUCAACAACUGCUAUUUAAGUAGUUUCAGCUUAUCCCUACUCACAAGUAUAUGAUACUCAUGUUUAAGGACUUAAAUGUGCGGUUCCCAAGUUUAGGACCCAAGUGGUAUAAUUGCAGAACCAUGGAAUUCAGAAGAUGAGAUUACCACUACAGCCUACGGAUGGAGGAUCAUACUGUUUCAUACCUAUAACUCCUCCAUAGUGCAUGCCAUCAUAUGGAUCCUCACCAGUGAGAAUUUCCCACAUCACAACGCCAAAAGAAUAGACAUCGACCUGUGUUACCAUAAAAUUGGCAUAUUUGAGAAUACAAAAGAGAAGAACAUGUCAGGCCUAAGUAUAUUCUAGAAAUUUUACAAUCUUUUUGUCAGUGUGUGUUAAAUUCUGCAAGUUUUUUUUUUUCAUGAAUCAAAUAGGAGGAAUGCUCUAGUUCAUGUUUAAAGUGAAUUUUCAUUAACCGUUAUCCCCUCUAUAUCACAAAUAAGUAACUUUUUGGGCAUGCUUUCAGUCAAACUUUUAAAACUUUGGCUGCAAAUAUCAUUUUAAUUGCUAUGUUUAAUUUUUUUAAAUCAUAUGUAUAGAUCUUUCAGAAAGCAUUUCUAGAAUAUCAUGUUUUUCAGUCUUGUACAUAUAUUCCUACUAUAGAUUAGUGAUCAAAGUUAUAUCUCAAAGACCGUGUCAGUAUCUAAAAAGUCACUUGUUUGUGAUAUGAAGAGAGUAUAUAGCACUCCCAGUGAGCAGGUCAAAUAUCUUCAGCAUCAUGCCACAGUUUGAACAAUGUUAUACAUUCAUAUAACUGAUAAGUAUGUCGUAUAACCUUUGUGCAUGAAUGUCAAGUGAAAUUGUGAAACAAACACAAUGCUAUAAUUUGGGUUCUUCGUAAUUUGUAGCACCUUCACACUUCCAAGUCAUUAAAAAGAUUCAUCAUAAUACCUUUUCAGAUACUUUUGUGCCACUCAUUGUCAACAAUUCUGGGGCCAUCCAUGGAAGAGUUCCUCUCAUUCCACCAGAAACCAUGGUGGCUUGUUUCAUCUUUGAUAAACCAAAAUCGGCAACCUGCAGUCAUUAUUUCUCUAUUAUGCCCUUCAUUUAUAUGCAGAAGUCCGUCAUAUGUAUUUCAUAAAUGUGUAUCAUUUUGCUUCACCCAUUUGCAUUUCAUAUUUAAAAUUAAGAAAAUACAUAUGGUAUUUUUUUUGCGGGGUAAUACGUAUGGUAUUUGAAUACUGGUGUUGUGGCAUACCUUGCAUAUGGGACGAGAGGGAUCCUUAACAUUCACUAGCAAGUUAUCGCAUUUCAGAUCGAAAUGGACAAUGUCCUUGGAGUGCAAAUAUUCCAUUCCAAUGGCGGCAUCCAUUGCAACAAGUACCCUCUUGCGCCAAUCGAGAUAUUUGUCCUUGCGACUGAGUACUUUCUUCAGAGAUCCAUUGACCAUGAAUUCUGUUACAGUAGCUAAUGUCCCCCCUGGCCCAUUAUUCACAACCCCGUAAAGUGCCAGAAUAUUCGGAUGGUGAAGUUUUGAGAUGAUAGCAGCCUCUCUCCAAAAUUCUGUUAUCUGCAUGAUAUUAUAUGUUUAAUGAUGGAUAUAUGCUGCAUUUCUGGCUUUCAACCCUUUGCAUUUUUCUAAAAGGGAUUAAGUUUUGUUCAGUUUGCUCUCUACUACUCCAGUUUUUAACAGAUGCAAUUGGUAUGGCUUACCAGUUUAUCUGCCUGUGAUGAUUGGUAUGAAAAACAGCUGUUGUUUAUCCGUUUAAUGGCAACAUCUGUUCCCCUCCAUUUUCCAUGAAAAACAGUUCCAAAUGCUCCGGCACCCAUCUCACGGAGAUCUUCGAGGUCAUCGUUGCUUAUUAUCUGCCAUUUGUAUGACAUCAACUUUAGGAAGAAGUCCUUGUAUAAUGAAAAAGGUAGGAAAUGUGUGCGAAUGAUAUUCAUUGAUAAAUGCCUUGCUUAUUGCUCUGACACAAAAUUUCCUAUGUCACAGACUACUGCAUGUGAAGUUAAUUACAAACCUGGACAUUACUCAUAAGAUCUCUGCCCAACACUGCAUUUGCAGGCAGAGAUUUUUCACUGCUCUUGGUUUCACGUAGCUGAGAGUAGAAGACAAGUCAGAAGUUAUACGGUGAAUCGUUUUCAUCAUAUUGUACCAUUUGAAACAUGGGGUGCAGAUAUGAUGACAUACCUCAGCCUCUGGGAUUGAUGGUGCAGCAUUUUCUUCAGCUUCAUGCAAUGGAGCUCUGAUUUGAGGAUUAAUGAUGCCAGUGCCAACCGAGCGAAAUCGAGUGAUUUCUGAUGAAUGCUCAUCUGUUGUUGGACUGCUGGGUCGUUCUUGUAUUGUAUCACUCGAAGCACGUACAAGAGUAUUUGGUUGCAGAUUUAUCCUUUUGUCUAAAGGUGUAGAAGCAAAAGGAAGUACCGAUGUUGCAGGACCUGCAGGUUGGUUCUUCUGGAUGCUGUUGGUUGGAACUGACCUCUCCGGAUACUGCAAGUUUGCACUGACGUUGCCGCCAGGACUAGUGGAUUCAUGACUAGGUUCAGAUAUCUCCAUCCUGUUGUGCGGCUGGAAAUUAGUGUUCUUCCUUAGUGAAUUUGAUGGCUGCGUCGUCACACUACUGUUGUCCAAUGGUAUCUGAAGCUGUUUCCUUGGUGAUAUUUUUUCCUGUGCCCCAGUAGUUCUGUAAGUGUCUGUGGUAGUCUGUUGAUGCUGCACCGUGGAUUCAGAAGGCGCAGAUGCACCAGGGGAAGCUUUACUAGUCUUUCUGGCUGCAGAGAUCAUGCUAUCUUCGUUACCUUGUGCCUUAUAAUACUGGUUGAUCAUCCGUCUCUGGGUACUUGGGGGAGUCCUCUCCAGCUGACCACCUGCUAUCACUGGCGGUACCGCGAUGCUCUGCAAGGGCUUGCUUUUGAUGGGCACUGAAGCUUCCUCUGUUCUGCCUGCCGGCGGCCCUGCUUCCACACCGAUGCCAAACAUCAGCUGGUCCAGGUCAUUGGCCGAGGAUCUACCGAUGCUGUGUGCUCUCAGCUCAUAACCUGGUGUGGUGAUGAUCCCAUUGACAAGAGCGAUGAACUGCGCCUCUUUCUCGGCAUCGGAUGAGCCUUGUACCACGAAACGCAUGUGGCGCUCAUCGUCCUUGCGAGAGAAGAGGUACAUGUUGAUCAUUUCUCUGUUUUCCUCUAGCACAAUGCACUCAUCAAUCAUAUGCCGGAGGUCAUCAUCGGAGGUGAUGGAGAUGAGCAUGCUCAGUUGCUCCCCUGGUAGGUGGUACUUUAUUGUGUGGGCUCUCCUUAUUAGCCUUGUUGUCUUGCUGACCAACUCUUGCCAAGAAAUGUCCCGGCUAAUUUUCAUCAGAUGCCUGUCACCACCGAUGUACCGGAGCUCGCCGUCGCUUGGCCUUGGCAAGAAAGUGCCACCGAAGUUGCAGAUAAGCUUUACCUUCAUUGAUUUAACAUCGUAGUAAUCUCGAGGGAGCUGUCUGCUGGUGAAACUCAGUGGACCAGAUGUUGGCGGAUUCUUUGGUCCUUUCAGGUCAGAAAUGUUAAAUUGUUCCACCCAGUCCAUGUUGCUGGUGUGGUGCUGUUCUCCUUGACGGUAAUCAGAACGAUGGACUACUUGUGUUUGCUCUCUCUUGCAUAAAUUCAGAAGAAAUUUCUCACCAAUCUGUCAGAACUAGCUCAGUACAUGGCGUUGGUCCUAUUUUACCAAGAACUUUAUAGACCUAGGAUAUACAGUCUGUCAGAAUAAAUUUCUCCUUUUAUUUGUGUUAUAACUUAUAAGAAUCUGAGGCGGUUAAAACUAAGAUAUGCAAAGAUUACAUAAGCUCAAGAGAAAAGGAACCCACAAUUAAACGAGAAGAAAGGUAACUAACCUGUAGAGAGUUCAGGCUUCUACUGGGACUCAAAACUUCAUGGUUGCCAACAGCUUCAUAUUUUUGCCUCAGUGCCAGUGGUGUUUGAGAUACUAAUAUGACGAACAGGUGAGUGGAUUCAGGUAUAGAAAGAUUGUUUCUGAGGGAAGUUGGAUUGGAGUUGGUGAGUUGCUGACUCACCUUUGAAGCAAUGAGUGGAUGGUGUCUGCAACACCUACGUUUUGUUACUAACAAUAUUUGUCAUGUGGACUGUUGAACAAGAUUCCAUCAUCAGCUGCCACUUAACCUGGGGCAAGGGGCGGCCCCUGAAACCUUUGUUGUCGUUGUCAAAUGGCAACAGGAUAUGAACCAUCGUCACUAUAUGGCCGCCCAUAGCCCAGUUGCAUUUGUCAUUUUGUUUCUUCUUCUUCUUUAAAAUGGGGCCGUCCCUGCUGAAACUUGGCUUCCGGUUGUUGAUAACAUAUUUAUUAUCAAAUACGCAUGUUGCAGCUGCAGGCGAGGAGUGGCUGUCAUGCAUUGGUAUUCUAUAAGGUUGAAAGCUUGAACGUUUCUUUCCCAGGUAAAAGUAAUGUUUCUGGUUGACCUAUGACUUUUUUACCAACAGUCUCAACAUUUGUUCUCCUUUCACUUUUGUAUCGAUUGUGUUAUCUUGGACGUAGUUUUCUUCGUUGUUACUUUGUUAGCUAACUAAGAAUGGAAGAAUGGUACUCCUCCUUUGGCUGCUUUGCUCCAUUCUUUUACGGUAGAUGAUUAUCACAUUAAAUACGCGAUUCCACUGCCAUCUCUUGGGAUUCCUUUCGUACUAUGUUAUUUGCUCCAAAAGGCGUUACCUGAGGAAUAUCGACAAAAAGAGGUGCGUGAGCGCGGUAAAAUCUUCUUGGCCCAUUAGGUCCACUUUUGUAUCGUUUGUGUUAUCUUCGACGUAGUUUUCUUCGUUGUUACUUUGUUAGCUAACUAAGAAUGGAAGAAUGGUACUCCUCCUUUGGCUGCUUUGCUCCAUUCUUUUACGGUAGAUGAUUAUUAUAUUAAAUACGUGAUUCCACUGCCAUUUCUUGGGAUUCCUUUCGUACUAUGUUACUCCCUCCGUUCCUUGAUAUAAGGUGUAUAGAUUUUUUUUAAAAAGUUCAAAAUAUAAGGUGUCUUGCGUUGCACCACUCUUUUGAAUAAUUUUUUAGGGAUUUGAUUACAUUUACUUAUAUUAGGCAAACUCCUCUAUUUUCUCAUGUCAAUUAGUCAGGUGUAAUCUCGCCCAAAACUUGUGAAAUUUUCACUCCACGUGCGUUCUUUAAUUUUCGUGCCAAAAACUAUACACCCUAUAUUUAGGAACGGAGGGAGUAUUUGGUAAAAUCUCACAAAGCCUACCAUGUUGGCACAAAAUAACUGUCAAAAUCAUCACAUAAUUUGGACCCAUCGGCAAGGUGUAGGAUCGAUUUCCCCAUUGGUCACCGCACCAUUGAUGUCGAGUAGGUUAUGGACGAACAGACGAAGCUGGUAAUUGAGGCAGCAUCACUGAUAGUUGUGAUUCAUGCAUGGCUUAUGUUGAUCCACAAGAGAGUUGUUCGUCGCAGUGACAAGCCUGUUAUCUGUUAUGCUCCAAUGUUAACCCGGGAUCAAGAAAGGAUAACAAAUCUGAACUACAUCUACAACUGAAGUGAAACAAAGGCUUUGUGGAUACUAAGAAUGAAAAGAGCACCUUUAGCCAGGCUUGUGCAAACCUUCAGGAGUAGGGGGCUGCUACAAGAUAGCAUUCACACCUAUGUGGAAGAGGAAGUUGCCAUGUUUCUCCAUGUUGUCGGUCGUAACCAGAGGUUCAGGGUUCCACAACACGUUCAGGAGAUCAAUGGAGACCAUUUCCAGGUACUUCAGGCAAGUGUUGUAUGCUCAUGGGUAACUUGGAGGAAAGAUGAUCAGGUCACCAACCGUCCGGACUCCUAGCAAGAUUCGCACUAGCCCAAGAUGGUAUCCAUAUUUCAAGGUGAGCACUAACAAUAUGUAGUUCAUGCCUUGACAUGCUUCUAUUAUUAUGCUAUAGCCAUAACACAAUCUUGUAAUGCCAUUUCAGGGUUGCAUUGGGGCAAUAGAUGGUACUCAAGUCACUGCUAGAGUGCCCAGGUCAUAGUUUGCAACAUACAGGGGGAGAAAGCACUACACAAGUCGGAAUAUUCUUGCUGAUGUUGACUUCGAUCUGAAGUUCACAUAUGUGUUGGCUGUCUGGGAAGGACCAACACAUGAUGCUAACAUUCCAAGUUACAACAUGACUAGACCUGAUGACAUUAAUAUCCCCGAUGGCAAGUUCUACCUAGGAGAUGCUGGCUAUGCAUGUCGGCCAGGUGUUCUUCCACCCUUGAGGAAAACCAGGUGCCAUCUGAAUGAGUUCUUUGGUAGGAACUAUCCUAGGACUCCAUAGGAAUUGUUUAAUACCAGACACUCCUGUUGGGAAACGUUGCAUGGAAAACAAAAAAAAAUUACGCACACGCAAGAUCUAUCCAUGGAGAUGCAUAGCAACGAGAGGGGAGAGUGUGUCUACGUAUCCUCGUAGACCGUAACCGAAAGCGUUUAGUAACGCAGUUGAUGUAAUCGAACUUCUUCGCGAUCCAACCGAUCGAGUACCGAACGUACGCCACCUCCGUGUUCAGCACGCGUUCAGCUCGGUGACGUCCUCCGCCUUCUUGAUCCAGCAAGACGGCGAGGUAGAGGAUGAGUUUCGGCAGCACGACGACGUGGUGACGGUGAUGAUGAAGUGAUCUCCGCAGGGCUUCGCCUAAGCACUACGAAAAUAUGAUCGAGGAUGUAAACGGUGGAGGGAGACGCUGCACACGGCUAAGCAAUUGUUCUAGGUGUGCUAGGCGCCCCUCCCACAUAUAUAUAUAUAUAGGUGGGAAGGAGAGGGAGAGGCCAAGGGGCACCCCAAGUAAGCCCGAAUCCUACUUGGGCUUGCCCUAGGCCGCCCCCUUUCCUUCUUUUGGCGUCAAUGGGAAGGAAGGAGGAGGUGCCCCCCUUCCUUUCUCCCACAAGGGGGGGAAGGCAGGAGGAGGUGGCCCCCCUUUCCUUCUUUUAGGGCCGGCGGCCAGGGAGAGGGCGCGCCAGCCCCUCUGUGGGCUGGUAUGCGCCUCUCCUUGGCCCAUUAGGCCCAUAGACCUCCCGGAACCCCUUCCGGUGAUCCGAUGACUACUCGGUGCACUCCAAAACUAUUCUGGUGUCCGAAUACUGCCGUCCUAUAUAUCAAUCUUUACCUCUCGACCAUUUCGAGACUCCUCGUCAUGUCCAUGAUCUCAUUCACGACUCUGAACAACAUUCAGUCACCAAAUCAUAUAACUCAUAUAACACUAUAUCAUCAACGAACGUUAAGUGUGCGGACCCUACGAGUUCGAGAAUUAUGUAGACAUGACCGAGACACCUCUCCGGUCAAUAACCAAUAGCGGAACCUGGAUGCCCAUAUUGGCUCCUACAUAUUCUACGAAGAUCUUUAUCGGUCGAACCGUUAUGACAACAUACGUAAUUCCCUUUGUCCAUCUGUAUGUUACUUGCCCGAGGUUCGAUCGUCAGUAUCUUCAUACCUAGUUCAAUCUCGCUACCGGCAAGUCUUUUUACUCGUUCCGUAAUACAUCAUCUUGCAACUAACUAUUUAGUCACUUUGCUUGCAAGGCUUCUUAUGAUGUGUAUUACCGAGAGGGCCCAGAGAUACCUCUCUGAUACACGGAGUGACAAAUCCUAAUCUCGAUCAAUGCCAACUCAACAAACACCUUCGAAGAUACCUGUAGAGCAUCUUUAUGAUCACCCAGUUACGUUGUGACGGUUGAUAGCACACAUGGUAUUCCUCCGGUAUCCGGGAGUUGCAUAAUCUCAUAGUCGAAGGAAUAUGUAUUUGACAUUAAGAAAGCAAUAGCAAUAAACUGAAUGAUCAUAUGCUAAGCUAAAGGAUGUGUCUUGUCCAUCACAUCAUUCUCCUAAUGAUGUGAUCCCAUUAUCAAAUGACAACUCAUGUCUAUGGUUAGGAAACCUUAACCAUCUUUGAUCAACGAGCUAGUCUAGUAGAGGCUCACUAGGGACACGAGAUUUGUUUAUGUAUCCACACAUGUAUUUAAGUUCUUAGUCAAUAUAAUUAUAGCAUGAAUAAUAAACCUUUAUCAUGAUUUAAGAAAGUAAUAAUAACUAUUUUAUUAUUGCCUCUAGGGCAUAUUUCCAUCAACUCUAGCCUUCGAGUUAUGGUUGAGAGUGCAUUUGGAGCUCUGAAGAAUAGGUUUAAGAUCCUGGAUCAGAAUCCACCGCACACUUUCCCCAUUCAGAUUAAGUUUGUUCUUACUUGUUGCAUUCUGUAUAACUGGACCCUAUAAUGGGGUUGUGCUGAACUGGUGUCGGGGGAGGAAGAGGUGAUGCCUGACGAUGUUGUCAGCUCCGGCCAUGGCGUGGAGGCAUUUGACAACGAAGCUUGAAAGAGCAAAAGGAUGAAGUGGGCACAGUCAAUGUGGGAUAAAAGAGGCCAGACAAGGAUCUGAAGAAGAAGAAGACGAGCAACAGUAGUAGAAGAAGAAGAACUGCGAUUUGUUUCCUAGCUAGGACCGAAACUAUAUCCACACCACUAGUGAGAAAUUGUGAUAGUACCUUAUGCAGUUUGCAACCAAAUACCGUGUAGUUUGUGCACCCAAAGCACCGCAAGAAACCAAACGGGAGGUCAAUAUUUGUUCCCUUGUGCAACCAGCCUAUAUGCGGACAACCAAACUAUAAGUAGAUGCUGGUUUUUGGCCGCUUUAUCUCAGCCAGGCCCAACUGAGGCACACACGCAAAGAGGCAAAAAAAGUGCAGAUAACUAAACACAUCCAAUACAACUCGCCCUAAGCAAAGUGAUUGAAUAGUUUGAUUGUAAAGCCAGAGAUAGGGGAUGGGGCGGGCACAUAUCAAAUCUUACUCAAGAUGAUGCGUCGACUCUGUCUCUCGCAGAUGCUCAUAGGGGAUGGGGUGUGUGUGCGUGCGUUCAAAAAUGUGAGUGUAUGUGCAUAUGUAUGAGCGUGUGUAUUGUGCUAAAAGAAAUGGUACUAUACCCCCGAGUUGGAACAUGAUCUCAGAAUUCAAAAGUAUUGCAUUCCGCUGCCCCGCGGGCACGGCACGGUGUUUUCCAUUACGAUCUCUGGUUUGGCAGCAGCAAACACCAAUUUGGUCUCAGGAGAGUCUCUCCUCCAGCACCAAACACCAGAACCAGAACGGGCAGCUGCGCACGUUCCCCAAUCCCUCUCCCACCACCCACCUACCCAAAUCCCAGCCUUUCUAAAACCCUAGGCCGCCGCCGCCGUCCAUCGGUCGCACCUCCUUGCAGCGUCCCCGCUCGGGGGGCCGCGACAGCUGGCGGUCCUCCACGGUCCGCAUGGCAUUCCGCGAGGAUGGCUCGUCCAUGGCCAUCGUGGGCGCCACUAGCACGGUGGGGCGGGAGUUCCUGUGCGUCACCACCGAAGCAAAUAUCUCUUUUAAAUGAAAUACCUCGGUUUAAACAAAGGUGAAAUGAGUGUAAAAAUAUCACUCAUCAGGACAUGGAUGUGGGACUAUUUCCUUCGCCAUUGACCUGGGGCUUCACUUCCGUGGCUCAUGGUCGAAGCUUCACUUCUCGGGGCUCACGGCCGGAGCUUCACUUCCCGGUCCGCGAAGAUUUAUACCAGGUUUAACUUUUGUUUAUGUUAAAAAUUUGCCAUGUCCGCUUUUGUUUAAUGAAAUAUGUCAGAAAUGAAAUGAAUGUGUUUCGGUUUAAAUCAUCCGGUUUGCAUGAAAAUCGUUCAGUUUGCUCAAAUUGCAUUUGAAAUGUGUCAGCAUGGUCCGCGGUGGAGAUGCCCUUACUCUCCAUCCUUUAGAAGAUCCAUAAAUGCUAGUGCUUUUUUGAAAUGAAGUUAUGAGUCCGGAAUGCUCGGUGGUUAUCCUCUCCACCUAUGAUUUUAGAAAAAUGUGACCCCAACAAAAACGCAUUUUACAACUCGCCGUAAACAAGUGGUUGAACAAUUUGAUUGUAAAAGCCAAACAUAUCAAACCCGUUAGAAAUUAAUUAAUUAAUCUCUCUGUAAACUAAUAAAUAAUAAAAGAUUGUUUAUACCCCCUCCCUCCAACAGUAUGUGAGAGCGUUUUGGACACUACUAGUUCAUGGAGGAAGUAAAAAAAUUCUUUGCUUAGAGCAACUCUAAUGAGGCGACCCAUUUCAUUCGCGGCCGUCCGUUUGGGUCGGGCGGACAGAAAAGGCGGCACAAUGCGCCGACCCAAACGGACGCGCGUCCGUUUUUCGUCCGCGGGCGACCCAUUUCCGGCUCAUUUUUGAGCCGGAUUUGCGUCGGAGCGGACACGCGACGGACGCGUGCUUGCUCGCCUACUCCUGUCCUCGGGCCCGCUCGUCUGUGGCACAUUGACCUUCCCCCGCCAAUAAGCAACCCUCGCCCCUGCCUCCUCCGUCACCGACGCCGCCGCCCAUUUUGCCGACGACUCUUCCAGCUGCCGCCGCCUCCACAUCCGCCCAGCAACGCCGCCCCUGCCCUCGGUCGCCCGCCGUCGCCGUUUUGCCGCUGGGGAGCAAGCUGGUUCCCCGCCGCUGUUUCCCCUACGCCCAGCCGCCCCGCGACCAAAAAGACGCCUCGCCGCCCCAGCCACAGACGACUGACACGCUCGUCGGACGCCGGCCGGGCAGCUAGCUGGUCUGUGGGCGCCGCGUCUCCCCUCGCCGGCCGUCUCCUUCUUCGACGCCCGCAAGCUGUUCGACAGUUUGCCAAGGUAUGAAAAUGGACUCCGCCGACGAGUUCUUUUUCCAUAAUUUCCUUUGCGACUCCGACGAUUCGUCCGACGACGAGGAGGAGAUAUUGGCUGCUGUGUUGGUCCAUCACCACCUCAACAACCAGUGGCCGUUGUUCCGUGGCUCCAUUCCGGGCCACCUUCCGGCGUUGAAUCGUAACCGGGAGAGCGGGCAUUUCCUUCUCUGGAAGGACUACUUUGAUACAACAAACCCGUUGUUCAAACAUCACAAAUUCCGCCGCCGGUUCCGUAUGAGUAGGCAUGUUUUCAACCGUAUUAGAGAGUGAGUGAUCGGCUAUGAUGACUACUUCGAGUGCAAAGAGGAUGCCGUCGGCAAGAUUGGUUUCUCCUCUUAUCAGAAAUGCACUGCCGUCAUCCGAAUGCUUGCAUACGGAGUGCCCGGUGAUCUCAUUGACGAGUACGUCCGUAUGAGCGAGUCUACAUGCCUAGAGUCCCUGUAUAAGUUUUGCAAGGCUGCGAUUGAUGUGUUUGGCCCUGAGUACUUGAGAGAGCCGACAACUGAAGAUACAACCCGUUUGUUGGCGAUGAAUGCUAGCAGGGGCUUCCCCGGGAUUCUUGGCAGCAUAGACUGCAUGCACUGGGAGUGGAAGAACCGCCCUUCUGCUUGGCAAGGGCAGUAUAAGGGACAUGUCAGGGCUUGCACUGUCAUACUAGAGGCCGUGACGUCUCAAGAUCUCUGGAUAUGGCACUUUUUCUUUGGCAUGGCUGGAUCACACAAUGAUAUCAACGUGCUUCAGCGCCCGCCGGUGUUUGCUAGGCUUGGCGAAGGCAACAGCCCACCGUGAACUUUACUGUCAACGGCCACACCUACGACAAAAGGUAUUAUCUGGGUGACGGUAUCUAUCCUCAGUGGACCACUAUUGUCAAGACAAUACCCAACCCUGUCGGAGAGAAAAGGAAAAGAUUUGCCCAAGAGCAAGAGAGUGCUAGAAAGGAUGUCGAGCGUGCCUUUGGUGUUUGCCCAAGAGCAAGAGAGUGCUAGAAAGGAUGUCGAGCGUGCCUUUGGUGUUUUGCAAUCUCGAUGGGGCAUUGUUCGGUAUCCUGCUAAUACUUGGAGCACGCAGAAACUAUGGGAGGUGAUGACUGCUUGUGUGAUCAUGCACAACAUGAUCGUAGAAGACGAGCGCCCGGAACGUCUGUACGAUCAAGGCUUUCAGUUUCAGGGUGAGAAUGUUGUGCCUGAGCAUGGAGUAGCGGCAACAUUUGAGCAGUUCACUCAGUUUCAUGAGGAUAUGCGUGAUUGAGAAACUCACGUGCAACUGCAAAAUGAUUUGGUUGAGCAUAUGUGGACUCAUGUUGGCACCCAAUAGAUGUAUCUUUUUUAUUCGUUUUGCAAAACUACGUGAAACAUUUUUUAUUUUUAUUUGGCAUGUAAACUAUACUAUUUAUUUAGGCGGACUAUUUUGUUUGUUAAAUUUUCAUUUCACCAUAUGUGAGAAUGCAAUGCAAAAUUGGGCGGCUAGCCGGCCACGCCUGCACAUAUGAGUGCGCGCUGCCGACCCAUAUGAAAAACAGGGCGGACGGCCGAGCCAAACGGACAAAAAGCGGACGAAAUCACCGUCCGUUUGGGGCGGCCAGUUGGAGUUGCUCUUAACCGCUUCAAGUUUAGCGACGGUCAUUGGUUUCCGUCGUCUUUAAUUCGCGUCUAUACAACACACCCCUUGAGCCACAUACACAUAUGGCUCUACAUAUAUAGCGUUUCAUCAUGGCCAAAGAACAACUGUUCCGUCACUUGCUUUUCUCUCUACCAAAACACCAAGUUGGAAGCUUCAAAAGAAAAAGAAAAACACCAAGUUGGAACACGAAUCAUCAAAAUUCAAAAGCAGCAGCCCGCUGUCCCGUGGGCACGGCACACUGUUUCCAGCGUUUGGCAGCAGCAAACACCAAUUUGGCCUCGGGGCCAUUCCCAUUCCCCGAGCACGAAACGCCAGAACGGGCAGCCAGCCAGCACGAUCCCCUCCCCUCCCCACCCAAUCCCCCUCCCACCACCACCCACCUACCCAAAUCCCAGCCGCCCUAAAACCCUAGGCCGCCAAACCCGCCGCCGCCGCCGCCGCAAUGCAGGCCGCCGCAGCCGUCCACCGGCCGCACCUCCUCGCGGCGUCCCCGCUCGGGGGCCGCGCCAGCCGCCGGCCCUCCACGGUCCGCAUGGCGCUCCGCGAGGACGGGCCCUCCGUGGCCAUCGUGGGCGCCACCGGCGCGGUGGGGCAGGAGUUCCUCCGCGUCAUCACCGCCCGCGACUUCCCCUACCGCAGCCUGCGCCUCCUCGCCAGCGAGCGCUCCGCGGGCAAGCGCAUCGACUUCGAGGGCCGGGACUACACCGUCCAGGACCUCGCGGCGCCGGGGGCCUUCGACGGGGUCGACAUCGCGCUCUUCAGCGCUGGCGGGAGCAUCAGCCGCGCCCACGCCCCCGCCGCCGUCGCCAGCGGCGCCGUCGUCGUGGAUAACAGCUCCGCCUACCGGAUGGACCCCGACGUGCCGCUCGUCAUCCCGGAGGUUAACCCCGAGGCCAUGGCCGACGUCCGGCUCGGGAAAGGGGCUAUUGUGGCCAACCCCAACUGUUCCACCAUCAUCUGCCUCAUGGCUGUCACGCCGCUGCAUCGCCACGCCAAGGUACCAUUGCACAUAUGUCGCCUUUCGUUCCCUGCUUUCUAACAGUCACACUAGAAAGUAAUGUUAAAUUAAUUUGGAAAAUGGGAUAGCUGAGACCAAAGAAAACCAAAGUCUUUAAAUUUGAAUCCUGAAAAAAUGACUAGACUCAUCUUUGAAUUAGAGAUGCUUCUUCAUAGUUCAUAGGAAUAUUUAAUUCCAUAUAUUUCAUUGCAUUUCUCCUAAUUGUGAUGCCUUUUAAGCUAUGAACAUUGCAAUUUGAUAGAUACGAGUACUUAAUACAGUAGUUUUUUGUGAUUUAUGUUAAGCCUGUCAAUAGGGACUUUCAUGAUUAGUUAUUCUUAUUUAUGUGUGCCGAUCCGCUUCAUAUAUUAACAUCAUUUUUAUUGUGAGUCGAGUAUUUUGUAAUGUAUAAGUACCGAUAUGUGUCAUGUAAAUGUAUGCUUGUUGGUUGCAUUUCUGGACUGACCAAAUAAAUUGAUGGCAAUCUUUUCAUCGUCAAUGUGGCAGGUGAAAAGGAUGGUUGUCAGCACAUACCAAGCAGCAAGUGGUGCUGGUGCUGCAGCCAUGGAAGAACUCAAACUUCAGACUCGAGAGGUGGGCAUUUCUCCCUUACUAUUUUGCUCGUGGUGCUAAAUCAGUAUAGCUACUGACACUGUAUACUUUAUUUAGGUCUUGGAAGGAAAGCCACCAACCUGUAACAUUUUCAGUCAACAGGUUAUAACUUCAAUACCUUGUGCGCAUGUUGAGUUGAUUUCUUACUGUCAUAAGACAUGCUUAAUUUAUUUUUCCUUCUGCAGUAUGCUUUUAAUAUAUUUUCGCAUAAUGCACCUAUUGUUGAAAAUGGCUAUAAUGAGGAAGAGAUGAAAAUGGUGAAGGAGACCAGAAAAAUCUGGGUAAGUGGAAGCUUGAUCAAUGCCCCAUAGGUUCUUUGCAUUACUCCAUCAAACUUUUCUCUUAAGUUGGCUGUUGAGCAAACAGAAAUGCCAUACUAACUCUCUGCUCUGUUUCUAGAAUGACAAGGAUGUAAGAGUAACUGCAACUUGUAUACGGGUUCCUACGAUGCGCGCGCAUGCCGAAAGCGUGAAUCUACAGUUUGAAAAGCCACUUGAUGAGGUUAGCAUACUGUAAUUGUGUUACGUAUCAGUUAGUACGUAGAAUUCUUUCCUGAAUUGUUACAAUCUCAGGUCCUGAGUCACUGGGUAAAAAUAUGUUUAUUGGCCUAGCAUGGCUUUGUUUUCCUUGUUUUCGGCAAGUAGAAUUGUAAACGGUUUCUUGUGGAACUUGUCUGUUGUCAUUGUUGGGUAGGUCAUUUAAUUAACUUUUGACACUUAAUACAAUUUCCAUUUCUUGUCCCAUGUAAACAAAGAACACACCUUAUUAGAUGAUCCUCUGUUCUUCUUCAUGAUGUAUUAGCUGUUCAAAUUCUGAAAUUGUUUGCAUAUGUUCUUGAAGGACACUGCCAGAGAAAUCUUGAGGGCAGCUCCUGGUGUUACCAUUAGUGACGACCGUGCUGCCAACCGCUUCCCUACACCACUGGAGGUAAUUGGGCAGUUUAAUUUUCUGAAGAUGAACAUAUUUGGAGCGGCGAUUUGUUUGUUUUUAUUCACGUACAUUCCACUCAUGAGAUUCCUUGUGAUCUACUCCCUCCGUUCCGAAUUACUUGUCGUAGGUAUGGAUGUAUCUAGACGUAUUUUAGUUCUAGAUACAUCCAUUUCCGAGACAAGUAAUUCCAAACGGAGGGAGUAGAAGACAGGAGAUUUGUUAUUUACUAACUAUAUGCUGCACACUCCACCCUUUCACGAAGCUACACUAGCCUGUUACUUGUUAGAAAAGUAGAGCAGAUUUUCUUUAAUUCUGAUAGAACUCUAAUUUUCAGGUAUCGGAUAAAGAUGACGUAUCAGUUGGUAGGAUUCGCCAGGACUUGUCACAAGAUGAUAACAGAGGGUACACUCACGUUUUACACUUACUGUUGUAAUCAUCUGUUUGUUAUGCAUCGCUUGCACUUAAAAUGUUCCUGUAUACCGGAACCUAAUCAGCUCCUCAAUGGCAGGUUGGAGUUAUUUGUCUGUGGAGACCAGAUACGUAAAGGCGCCGCGCUGAACGCUGUGCAGAUUGCUGAAAUGCUACUGAAGUGACCGCCUUUUUACCAUUGUCUCAUGUGCCACGUUGCUCUAUCCAUUGAUGGAUUGAUGUACUCUAGUCACUUUCAACCCAGUUUUGGUCGUCUGUCUUUUUUGUAAUCUGUCAACCUAGCAGAAGUGUAAGACGGGCUUUAGUCAUCUGUUGCACACAAAAGUGCAGCCACAAGUUUAGAAAAGGAGGGUUUUCACUUGUUCGGAUUUUGCCUUAGGUUGGUCUUUGUUGCAAGUUUGUCGUUUGUUUCUUGAAAGCUGGUCUGCUGUAACUUUACCCCCAAAGCCCUCGAGAUAACGAGGCCUCCUGUGGGGACCUAUAUGAAGGGCAACGUGUGUACCAUGCAACAAAUCGUUGGGCUAAAUGCUGUAACUUUUGAGGUGCAAAACCAAGGUCCGCUGUAACCUUUGCCCUGAAAGCCCCGAAAUAAAGAGGCGCCUUGUGAAAUCUAUAUGAAUUGCUUUGUGUGCCAUGUACGACUAAGUGUCGGAGCCAAAAGCUUGCACCGAACCUAUUGGAUGCAAACUGGGGGCUAUGAUUUCAGUGAUUUUGAAGCGGUUUAGAUGAUGAAGGUGCUAAAAUAGCUCUCACAUGUGGUUCGAUGCAUGUGCUUGCAUGUACCUUGUUUGAUUCAUGAACAGAAGCCUGGCCAGAUCAGAAGUUCUCACCAGGAGCGCCAUGUUACAUCAACUAAAACGUACAAGGACCCCGAUAGCUGGCGAACGCUCGCCAGCAGGGGAUGACAUUUGCGAACGAACGCUCGCCAGCAGGGGAUGACAUUUGCGAACGAUUUGGAUGGCAGUUUUAGUUGGAGUAAUGCUACACGUAUAAACGAGUUACAAGGUUUUACAAAAAGGGUUAAUUUGAUUGGUCAAUAGAUGGGGAGGCGGCCCAUCCCCCUGAAAAUCAGGGGGGAGGCAAGUUUGUGAUUGGUUAGUAGAUGGAAAAAAUCCUAGUCAGCGUAUAAUUGCGUGUAACUUUUUGUAUGUUUAGCAUUAUUGUUUUAGUUGUAGAGGAGGGGACGGCAUUUGCGAACGAUUUGGGUGGCAGUUUUAGUUGUAGAGGUGUGGCAACUUUAGUUGUAGGGGUUGACAGUUUUUAUUUUGUGAAGGUAUUCUUUUUGUGAAAACCGACACUGUUUGAUCCCGAUCAAAUGGCUGGGUUCGCUGGGACUUUACUCCCAGUGAACGGCAGCCAUUUAACAUUAUACCAAACCUACAAAGGAUAUAUUAUCACCACUUGACAGUAAAAUUUCCAGGGGUUGGCUUUUGUACCGGCAGGAGGAGAAUCGGGAGCAAUCAAAAGCUGGAUCCCACAUCUUUCCCAGUGCUGACCAUGGAAACUUUCACUGCAUCAAACUCAGAACACACAUCAAUUCUUUUCUUUUUUGUGUGUGAAAACAAACGCAUCAAUUCGAGAAUCAAUUGCAGCGCAGUUUGCUGCUGGCCUGGAAUGGGCCCAGGGUGGCCUGCCACUCUACCAGAUAUACACUCUGUUGCAAAACCAUUGCCUGGUGUAACCUUGGCUCUCGAGGGUAGGAGGUUGGAGGCACAUGAGGCAAUUUAACCAUAACAACAAGAUGUUGGAGCUAAAAACUUUCACUGAGCCUCGCCUCGCAUCCGCUUCCAAUUCUCAUCACACACAAUCAACCGUCUGAAGCAACCACCGUACCGGCUGCAACUUUUUUAACUGUAUAAACAGUGCAAAUGUAUUAAAAUGUUACGACUACAAACUCAAAUCACCAUCAGACGAAAUGUUCAUUGUCCCACGCAAACGAACCCAAACAAAUUUUUUCAUGCAUGCCAUCAACCCUUGAACCUAACACUACGGCUGACGUUCGGAUUAAUGCCAGACAUUUCUCCUCCGUAUGGACCGGAGGCCUUCUUCACGCCAUGCCCCUGACUUCUCCACUUAAGUCCCUGUUUCUCACUCUUAGCCCUGUAUUUCUUCCGUGGGUUCUUGAGCUUCCUGUUUCUGGAGCGAGUCAGCCCUCGGUUUUUCUCGAUCUGGCGCGAGAUCCCCCUCCUCUUGCCAUCUCCUUCGCCUUCUUCUGCCAACGGCCCGGUGAUAGGGGCGCUCUGUUCUUUGCGCAAGCGCUUUUCGGUCCUCUGCCUUUUGACAUCUUUGUAGAAUUCAUCUUCAGACUCCGACGCUUCAUCAUCAUUGCCCUUGUUGUCUCCACGUGUAUUGGUUCCUACCCGAGCAAGAACACGUAGUUCGUGUUUUCGACGUCUUUCACCAAUCUCAUCUCGCUUUGAAAUGUCAUCAUCACCAGAAACAGACUUGAACUGAUGGCCAGAAGAGGGGGGAAAAAGGUUAGGAAUAGCUACAGCCAUUAUAACAACAAAUAUAAGUAUAUAACGACAAUGGAAAGAACACAGAAAUCGAUAGACAAAGCACAAGAACUUGUUUAAAGGGUUGAUCUAGCUUUGCAUAUGAGCAAUAGUCAACAAUUAUAAAUUCAUCAAGUAUUUCAGAAGAUAUCUUUGGUAAGACAAGGGUUACAAGGUUUGCGUUCUAAGAACAACACUUAUAUGCACUUGAUAGCAUAAGUCAUUCUAUUAACAUGACAGAUAAUAUAGCACAAAGGCUGUUCUGGAACAGCAGAGCAGAAAGAUUACAAACUCUAACAAAGCAGCAAGAUUCAAGCAUGACCCAACAUUUUGACCCCAAAAAUGACCAGCAUCGUUGGCUAGUUCAUAUUUAUUGAAACAAAUGUUGAUAGGAAUGCGGAGAUGUGGUGCCAAGGUUUUUAAAGCUGGAACGCAAGCAUAGCUAGUGUCCCUGAGUGUAGCACAAUUCAUUAUUGAUAUGUUUUACCAACAAUGGUACUCAUUCCAAUAAUUACCAUGUCCUAUUAUAUUAUCAAAAUUCUAAUUCCCUUUUGCAGAGUAAGAAAAGUCCCAGUGCACCCGAGAAACCUUGGAAUCAAUAUUUAAAACACACCAGCAACUCCAAAAUCACUUAAUAAUCCUCAAAAUUCGCUAACAUUCUGGAUACAAUGAUAAUUCAAAUAAUGUAUAGUAUGUGGUGGUUGAUAAUAUCUGUAACAUGGCUGGGUGUAAGGAUGUAGUAUCAAUUCAGUUAAGGUUCUAUCAAAUUAGCAUAAGUAACAGCACGUAUGCAGAAAAUCAGCCCACUUUUGGCAACAACAAAAAAGAACAAUAAAACAUUUGAGGUCAAUACUUGGAUACUUCAAACUGUGUGUCCUGAUGAAACAAACAACUUGACAAGGAGCCAAAGUAGACCAGAAGACUGCAGGUUUUGUUAUCUCAGUGAGACUUCAGAUUUAGCAAGAAUGUAGGUUUCUAUCAAAUUACCCCCUUGCAGAAAAAAUGUGACAAAAGGAAAGUGGCAAUGUUAAAAAAUCGUAGAUUACCAACUAAAAAUGUAACAGAUAUCAACUUGGUCGAGAUCAGAAUGAUUCUCUAAUGUAGUGUUCAACUGAAUACUAGCAAGAAUCUACAGCAAGAAACAUAUGGUCAUUGAAAUUUCGGUCCUACAUGACAGUAUGUGUACUUGCCUGUGUAGUUUUGUAGUUAUGAACUUGUAAUUUGCACCAUAUGCAUAAAAGACUAGUUAAUUAAGGGCAGUUUGGAUCAUUAUCACAAGACAUUUAGAUUUCGCGCAAGUUAAAAAAAUAGCUAGUUAUGAAGGUACCCAGCAAAAAUAAGAAACCUGCAUGAAAAUACCCCAUACCUUGUUUCUAUUUGAGCCAGUGGCAUUCACCAGAAGCUUUCUAGGUUUGAUCACUUGACUAUUUUUCUGCACUUCAUCAUCAAAGUCAUCCAAUGUCUGCAGGUUUAUCCUAGUAUUGGUUGCCCUGGUUUUUGACAACUUUGGCUUCAACCCUUGUUCCUUCAACCCCUUCUCAGCCCUUUUUCCUUCAUCCUUGCUCUUCCUUUUGGCAAUUUCAUGGUGCCCAUUAGAAGGCCCAUUCUUUGUCAAUUUGGCUGCUUCAGCACCCCGUUUUACUUUGUCCAGAACCAGUAAAUUGCUAGAUUUGCCCUCGUCAUCAUCACUUUCAUCAUCGUCGUCUAAUCUGAAAUAUUUCACUGACAGCUUACUGUUCUUCUCUACUUGUAUCCUCCUUAUCUCUUCACAGUCAACAUCAUCAGCAUCAUGCUCAUCGCCAUCAUAGUAUAAUGUAUUUCCGCUACCCCAAUCAAAUUCACCCGAACUAUCAUCACCGGCAAAAAUUUGUUGGAUUGCCUUGUUCGCUCUCUUGAUUCUUGCCAUAUAUAUUUUGUCCCAUACCUCGUAACUAUCUGCGCCCGCGUCGCGGUGCUUACCUCCUUCGCUGUCAUCACUUCCAUCGCCGUCCUUGCCUUCUUCGCCAUUAUCAGUUUCAUGGCCGGAAACACCCUCGAGAUCGUUGACAGGCUGCACCGGAUCCUCCUUCUCUGGAUGAAUCGAGUCGUCGGCGUCGAGGGGGAUGGCGUCCCGCUGCUUGGGGAAGGCGUCAAUCUCGUCGCCGUCAGAGUCGGACAUCGCCGCCGCCUUGCUGGAUCGCUUGGACUGCUGUGUGUCCGCCGCGGGUGGCAGCCGUGUCGACCUCAGCCUCUUCCCCAUGUUGGGUGGCGGCAGGAGUAUCGAGGAGUCGGGGUGGGGGAGGAAGCGCUGCGCACAGGCGAAGAGGCUGGUUCAGGGUUAGGGUAUCUCUAGCCCAUCGGGAUUUUAAUUUUUUUUUUGAGAAUUAGCGCCUCAUUUCAUAUAGUUUUCUGGUAAAAAAAAGCUUUUCAUUGUCCAAUUUUUUCACACUAGCUAUCGGCGCAUUCAUGGUGUAGCAAUCCGUGUCCUAGCCGAUUAGCCCCGUUGCAGUUAUAAAACCCACCCCAGCAGCUCUCAAAGCCUAUUCCAUCCAAACCCCAUUCUCAUGAACGUCAACCCGAUUCUCCCUACCGCCGAAAUCGAGCUUGAGCUCUUCGUUGCAGCAAGGAGAACCGCCAUCACCGCCGGCCCCGAUUUGCCCCAUCCACGUUGUUGCUUGCCUCCUCGACUCCCUACUACGUGUCUCCGUCCCCGAGCUUCACCACCGCCACUCCGAUGCCCUCCUUCGUCGCCGACCCCUUCUUUCGUCCUCAGGCACCACCGUCGGCCCCAGCGCCGACCCCCUCAUCCAUCCUUGAGCACCACUGUCGUCCCCAUCGCCGACCCCCUCCUUCGUCCUCGAGCACCACCGCCGCCCCCAUCCCCGGCCGAUGCUGCCAUGGCGCGUUGACGCAUGACUUGGUAUGCGCAGUUCAUAACAGCGUGGUGCACCCAAAUCAUGAAGAAGCAACACACCAGCGAGGCUUGAUGAGAAGGGCGCAUUGCAGUUGGCCUUCCUUCAAGCUCGGACAAGGACAAGGAGGGGCAAGCCCCGAGCUCGGAUAAGGUGGCGCCCGUUUUUGAUUGGGCCAAGGCUUUGAACCCCAUUUGGCUGAAUGAGGUGGUGGUUUCAUACAUGGCGUUUGGUUAAGGCUGUGAUGAUGCAAUUACCUGGCAUUUGCUUUCUCAUGACCUAAUGUUGUUGUCACCCCAUCUCAGUAGUGGCGACCUUAUCACAAACUACACUACAAGCGGUAGCAAUUUAACAUCAUUUCAGUCCUAACCACCGAAUAAAUGACAAUUCAUCCUAAUAGACCUAGAUACUACUCCCUCCGUUCCUAAAUAUUUGUCUUUCUAGAGAUUUUAAAUGGUCACUACAUACGGAUGUAUAUAGACAUAUUUUAGAGUGUAGAUUCAUUCAUUUUGCUCCGUAUGUAGUCACCAUUUGAAACCUCUAGAAAGACAAAUAUUUAGGAACGGAGGGAGUAACAAAUAGCAGUACCAAAUUAACAGUCAUAUGGAUGGGGGGAAGGGUGGUUUAUCAAUGGCGAUCAAGGGGGAAGAUCAGCAUUCUCCUCCUCCUCCUCUUCUUUAGAUCCUUUUGUUGUCUCUAUUAUCCCACAUUGCCUCAACCCACUCCAAUCUUUUUCUCUUCCAAGCUUCAUUAUCAUGUGCCUCCAUACCAUGGCCGAAGUCAAUAUCAUCAACCAUCACAUCAUCUUCAUCUGGCACAUACUCAUCAAGACCCCUCUCUAGGAUCGAGUUAUGAAGAACGCAACAUGAAAAAAUAAGUUUAACUUGGGUGGGAAAAUGGUGGAAUGGCUAUCAAGAAUCUUAGCUAUAUUAUUCAAAGCACCAAAUGCCCUCUCAACUAUAAUUCUAAGGCUAGAGUGCCCGAGAUUGUAUAGUCCGUUGAUAGUCUUAGAAUAGCUCCUUGUAGAGAAUUCAUUAAGAUGAUACCUGAUUUUCUUCAAGGUUGGAAGAACCACAUGCCGACAUGCAUAUCCAAUAUCUCCUAGGUAGAAUUACCACCCGGGAUAUUGAUCCCAUCAGAUCGAGCCAUGCUGUCAGCAGGAAUGUUUGCAUCAUAGGAUGGCCAUUCCCAACCAACUAACACAUAUGUGAAUUGAGAUCAAAAUCAACAUCAGCAAGCACACUCUGGCUUCUGUAGUGAUUUUCCCCUGUAUGAUGUAGUAUGUGACCUUGGCGCUCUAGCAGUCACAUGAAUAUCAUCAGUUGCUCUAAUACAAUCCCGUGAUGGCAUGAACAAACUGGUAUGGUUCGCAACAAUACGAUCAUGUCAUGGCAUGAGCUAACAAUUAGUAUUGAUCACCUUGAAAUAUGGAUACUAGCGAUAUCUCGCUUGCAUCUCGAAGGAGUUUUACUAGUAGGUACUUUGAUCAUCUCACCUCUGAGCUCUCCAACCUCAUGCAAGACUUGCUUGAAAUACUAGAAAAUUGUCUCAUUGAAUCUUCCGAAUGUGUUGUGAAUCAACCUAGACCUCUUGUUAUGACUCGCGACAUGAAAGGGCAUUGCUACUUGGAAGCGACUUUUCGGUGGACGGCGGCUCGUGUGGACUGUAUCGGAGCCGUCGAACGAUUCCUGGAGAUGCACAAACAUCACUUCCCUGUCCCCCCGGUUCGAUCUCCUAGUAAUAGGGAAUAGGUGGCAUAGGCGUAUGGAUUUGGCACAAUUGUUUCGGGCCUUUGGAGCUGGACUAGUGAACUGCGCGAGCUGGUGCACAUGCCGCCGCAUAGGAAGGAGCAGUUGAUGACUUGACCUGGUGAUGUAGCCGGACGGGUGGUGGGCCAUAACGUAGAAACUUUUUGCACGUCGGGACGUGACAAAAAGUGACCCUGCCAUCUUUCCAUCAUGCACAGUGCGCCUCUCUCUUGCAAUUACUGCAUCCAGGUUCGCUAAUCAAAUAUACUUGGUUAGUUUAAUGUGCCGGGUAAAAGAAGAUUCAUAAAAUCUAAAAACAGUACUUUCAAAUGGACGGAUGCAUUGGAUCCUUUUUUUUCAAAUGAUUCGAAAAUCAUAUUUCAAAGUAAAAAAAACUGCAAAAACUUAUACAUAUUCAUGAUGAUCUGUGAAAUUGCAUUCAAACAAAGUAUGAUUGCAAGUUGUACAAAAAAACAAUUCCGGCUCAACAAUAAAAAAUUUGGCUCAUUUUCAUUUACACAUUUGUUUUUUUGUCUACGUCACGUGUGAAGUUAUAUUGUUAAGGAAAUUUUCUUAAAUGUGGUAUACGUGCAUUUGUGUAUUUCUAAAAGAAUUUGCGUUGCGGAAUUAUUUUGGAAGUCCACCAAUGCACCCAUCCACCAAAAGGCAUUUUUGCCUUCUUACAUACUAGGCUCGAAGAUGGUUUGCGGCAAAAAAACAAAUUUUGAUAAUACAAAAAAUUAUAUAACGGGCUGCACAGUAAUACAUUAAUCUAACAAACUGUGUGAGACUAAUUCUUGUUCAGAGUCCCAAUCAUGAAGAAACUUUUAAUGGCCGUAUGAAAACAGUUUAAAUCAUAGUUCAAGUAAAUACCCUUGAUAGCCAGAUGGUACUAACAAACAAUAUGGUAGUAGUAGUGUUUUAUGUGGUCACGUGUGUGAGCAGUGCAACAAACUGGGGCCCGCGAUCAAACGUGUACUACCAAGGUACAUCGGUCAGCGUCUACUCUGGUGCCUAGAUUCUGUGACAAAAGCUACCUAUGCCGGGCGGAAUACAAGGGCUGGCCGAGCUCUACGGGGGGACAACAUGCCAGAAUACCGGGCAUGAUCGGCUGAAUGGAGAUAAGGGGCGGCCAGGAUAAAGUCCGCAGAGUGCUCGUCCACCAUUAAGCAUUUUCGAUUGCUACUUGCUCUUUCACAUAGGCAUGGAUGCUAUCUUUUAGCAACCCACUCUUCGUAAACGUCCCCACAAGCGUGACAAAAGGGGCACUUCUUACUUGAAGCAUGUUCACAGCCUCUACAUCGCAGUGGCGUACCUAGCGGGUGGGCCAUGGCACACUAGAAUUUUGGGACAUAUUUUUUUACCAUAUAAAAAUUAGCUGAUUUCCAUGGCCCAUCCAAGCCAAUUGAAAUAGAUCUCAUUGUUUUUUAAAAGUGUGCACACACUACAUUUUAUUUCUAGGUCCAUCACUGCUGCAUCGUUACGUUUAUAGAUGUAGUUUUAUUCGUCAAUCUUAUCCUAUAUUGGACUAAAAUUGGAUCAUAGCUGAUCACAUGCCUGGAACGUUGACGAACCGCUCUCUUAUGUACCAACAUUACUUAGGACCGAAUCGCAACUAUGAGUGUUGAUGCUUGAGCUAGUAGCUUCAUCCAUUCGUUCCUAUUGAAAUCGAUGUUGCAGUGAGUAACGGCGAAAUCGAUCCUACACCUUGCCCAACAACCAAACAAUGGUAGGAUGAAGGGUGGUUGUAUGGUGCUUAUCUCCAUGGCAGACGAUGAGGACGAAACGGAGACGACGACGAAGGGGACGAGCAGGCCGUGUAGCUGACGGAGAGUAGCAUGUCCCGAUGCUAGCAGAUCUUGGUCCACACUACCGCCGUUUCAGAGAACUGAGGUUGACUUUGUCCUUUAGCCAGAGGUGAACGAGUAAAGUGGAGUGUGACAACGUAUUUCACGCCAUACAACGGCUGCAGAUUUUCGUCUCGUGCCAGCUCCGUGCGUGCUCCCCAUGUUGUUUCCCUCUUGCGCUCGCCUCAGUCCAGCUCCACGAAAACGAUCGAUUCAAGAAUUCCCAGUGAGCGAGGAUAUGGGGCGCUUUGAGUUUCAUGCGCAUACGGACCAACACCUCACAUGAACAAUCAAAUAUGCUCUUUUUGUAUCCACUGAGCCCGUUUAGAGUUAGUGCGAGCAACAAAACACGCCCUAUACACGUUGUGUAGCGUAGUGCAUCAACGGCAAAUCUCGCGAGGUCAAAAGUUUUCACCCGCAACAGGCCAUUUGGUGCCAAAACCUUAAACAGACCUGCCAAGCUCAGAUUUCAUCCUUCCAGUCAUGCAUUAAUCGUGCUGCCAUCUCGGUAAAUUUUCAAUCAUCCACGGUGAAAAACAGUAACAACACUGGGCGAGUAAAAGUCGUCUCCGGAAGUGCUUCUGUACCGGGACGAGGACAAACAGCCGACACUGGAUCCCACGGCUUUCCCAUCCGAGCUUCACUCCGGUGCCGGCCACGGGAACUCGCACCGCAACAGGCCGAGCAAAGCCAUCAACUCCGCCAUUGAUUGUAGCACAGUUUCAGUCCACUGACUCAGCGAGGGCGGUGGACGAAAUAACUCAAUCCCUGACGCGUCACAUUCAGUUCGUACCGCUGCUUUCAGACGAGGAGUAACUGAACGGAGCAAGGCCCCAUCCCAUCGCGCUCGCUGUCUUGCACCGACGCACAUCGAUCGCGUGCCCCUUUCAUGCUCCCUCCCUCAAACUAUGCUCACACACAACACACCACUCUUGCUCGUUACAUUUACCCAUAGAAAACAGAAAAGAACAAGGAAAUUACUGGACAAACUUUACUGAUGCAUGAUGGUUCAUUAUUACAGCACAGCGACAUUUUUGCCGGCAAACCAGUAGCUAGGCCAGCAUUAUGCAUUAUCAACACACAGUAGGAUCAUGCACCGGACGCUCAAGAUCAUGAUUUACACGCAUAUAAUAUAUAGUGGUGAUCCGCGACAUAGUACGACAUGAUUGAUAGGGAUGCAUGAAGUUCAGGUACAUGCUAGGCAGGCGCCAUCAGCGGCGGAGGGUGGCUGGAGGGUGGUGGUGGAUCAUGGGCACUUGGGCCUCUUGCGCGCGCCGUGGCCGGUGGUCUUGUCGCGGUAGCAGGGGCACUCGUCCUUGUUGCCGGCCGUCCCCGACGGCACGCAGUUGCACUCGGCGCAGCAUAUCCCGCAGUACUUGAGGCAGUCGUCGUGCCGGCUCGCCUUGGAGCACCUCACCCCGCACUUGCCGUCGCAGAACGCUGCUCAAGAGCACACGCACCACCACGGUUAACAUCAACACAGGGAAGGGCCGAAGAACUUCAGCAUAAUGGCGAU
RNAcentral lists this long non-coding RNA (52315 nucleotides) under Triticum aestivum (bread wheat). Its description in RNAcentral is "long non-coding RNA (TAES_LNC006179)". The stretch from base 41482 to 41596 matches the Rfam family "MIR1120/MIR1122 microRNA precursor family". The record is from RNAcentral. Lineage: Eukaryota; Viridiplantae; Streptophyta; Magnoliopsida; Poales; Poaceae.